This 50759-nucleotide long non-coding RNA is filed under the name Citrus x clementina. RNAcentral's name for it is "Citrus clementina (C. clementina) long non-coding RNA (CCLE_LNC002277)". Lineage: Eukaryota; Viridiplantae; Streptophyta; Magnoliopsida; Sapindales; Rutaceae. The record is from RNAcentral.
UGCUUAAAUCAUCCCUCAACAGCAGUUCAACAACAUCCUUCUUUUCUGUUUCCCUGCCAUAGACGUUGGCUCCAGUCACUAAAGAGGUUGUCUCUAGCCUUUGACUGGCUUUUUUGGACCCUCCAGCUGAACUUACGUUCAAACCCAGCGAGUCUUUCUGUGUCACAAUUUCUUGAAAUCUGUCGUUGAUCUCUUUGAUUUUGGACAUCAAGGCAUAAUCGAACUGAAUCGAUUGUGGAGUAAAAGUGGUGCAGCAAGUAGGAAUGAGCUUCCGAAACUUACUUUUUCUUGUACGACUGCUACUGGGUUGAUCCUGAGCCGCAGCUGGAUCUCCAUUUCCAAGUGUUAGAGCAGCUCAUUAUGCUGAACAGAAGAAGGUGAAGACUAAGAUGAAGAAAAUACAGAGCAAGUUACAGGGCAAGUGUGUCAGCAGUGCCAGCUCAGCUAACAGCUCAGCAGAUUAGUUAAAGAUGGUUGUAAGCAUGAUGUGCAUUGUACUGAAGUUAGUUAGCUUUGAUUACAGUUAGUCUUUGGAUUAGUUAAAUGAAGUUACCGUGAUUGCAUUGUAUAUAAACAGGUGAUGCUUUGUAAUUAAAUGUUAAGCAAAAUAAAAAUCAAAGUUUGUUAAGGAAAUAUCUCCAGAAUUAUCAAUUCAUUUUCUUAGUAACCAAACAACUUUAUUUCAUUUUCUUUCAUGGUAUCAGAGCCACUCUAAUGGCUAGUUCCAGUAGCACAACAUCAAAUCCAAAUCAAAUGAAUCUAAAUCAAUCAUCACAUAUCUCCUUUUCGUUCAGCACUCCAGUCAAAUUGGAUCGAUCAAAUUUCAUGAUUUGGCGAAAGCAAGUUCUUACUACAAUAAGAGGAAAUCGUCUUGAAGAUUUUAUUUCUGGAAAUCAAAUCAUACCAGAACAAUACAUUUCUAAUACAGUAGCUGAUGGAUCAGUACAGAGAAUCACGAAUCCAGCUUACAUCAACUGGCGAGCUCAGGAUCAAACUUUGCUUGGCUGGAUUUUGUCAUCCAUAAGUGAAGGUAUCUUAAAUACUGUUCUUAAUUGCGAAAAUUCAUUUGAAGCAUGGAGAUCAAUUGAAAAACAAUUUGGAGUACAAUCUGAGGCUAGAGUUAUGCAAUUGAGGUAUGAAAUGAAUGUCCUUAGAAAAGAGAAUAUGUCUGUUGAGGAGUACUGUUUAAAAGUAAAAGCUGUUGCUGAUAAACUUGCUUGUGCUGGUAGCCCUGUGUCUGAGAAAGAUCUGCUAAUGCAAAUUUUGAAUGGCCUAGGACCUGGAUUUCUAGAUCUUGCUUCAAUAAUUACUGCUAAUAGAAUGUCGUAUGAUGAUGCUUAUGCAUUACUCUUAACACAUGAGGCAAGAAUGGAACAAAAUCAUAAUACUAAAGAUCUUUUUAGUGCAAACUAUGGGAUGAUGAAUGCUAACUACUCUCAGUUUAGAGGAAAUAAUAAGAGAGGUGGUUAUAGUGGAUAUCAAGGGCAAUUUAAUGCUGGAAAUAGGAAUCAAAAUGGAGGAAGAGGAAUGUUUUUCAAUUCAUUCUCAAGAGGUUUUCCAGCUGGUGGAUAUACUGGUAAUGCUGGUGGCAGAGGACAGCAAAUGAAUGCAUAUGCUUAUAAACCUGUGCUUAACAACAGGCAUAAUUUCAAUGUGAAUCAUGGCUCAACUUCAAUGCCCAAUGGAAAUGGAUCUGAUGAUAAUGUGCUUAUCUGUCAAAUCUGUCAUAAAGCUGGACAUGCAGCUGAUGUUUGUUGGCACAGACACUUUGAUGGCUAUGCUCCUCAACCCAGACAAUUUGGAAGGGGCAGAGGGCAUAAGUCUGCUUAUAUGGCUAACUUUGAUCCACAAAUUGGCUUUACUUCACAAUUUGAAGAUUCGUUUGCUACAGAAUAUCCUGGUUAUCAUGGGUACCAUCCACCUGAUAUGAAUGCAUCAGUUGCAUCAGUAAGUCAUCACUCAUCUGAUAUGCAUUCUGUACCUGGAGCAGCUUAUAUUGCAAAUUUUGAAGGACCAGCUGAUGAAGGGUGGUAUCUUGAUAGUGGAGCUACGCAUCACAUCACUAACAGCAUGGCCAAUAUGCAUAUCAGAGAUCAAUUCACUGGAGCAGAUCAGCUCAUUAUUGGAAAUGGACAAGGUUUGCCCAUAACUCAUGUUGGUGAUGCAUCCUUUCUCUUUAAAAGUUCCAAUUCUACACACAAACACUCACCUAUAGUACUUAAAGAUAUUCUGUUGGUGCCUUCCAUUACCAAAAAUUUGUUAAGUAUCUCGAAGCUUACCACUGAUAACAAUUUGUCUGUUGAAUUUCUUGGAAAUGUUUGUUUUGUGAAGGAUUCUCUGAGGGGACAGGUACUUCUGCAGGGUCUUGCUGAGAAAGGGUUAUACAGGCUGUUAUUGAAAUCAUCAUCAUCCUCUCAGUUAUCAUCAUCUUUUCUUUCUCACAUGUGUUCCAAUAAACCUUUGUCUAUGCUUUCUUGUUGUUGUUUCAAUUCUGUUCCUUCUGGAGUUGUUACAGAAUCUCAGAAAUCAUGUAAUCAAACUGAUGAUUCAUCUUGUAAAACUUCAGUUAAUAAAGCUAUUUUGCUUCAUAGAAAGUUUGGUCAUCCCAAUCAUCAAAUAUUAACUCAUAUACUCAAAACAGCAAAAUCUAUUCAUUUACCUGCAUAUCAAAAGCAACAAAUGCAUCAGUACAUCUGUGAGGCCUGUCAAAUGGGCAAAACACAUAAACUUCAUUUUCCAAUUACUGAAACCAAAACCUCCAAAACUCUAGAACUUAUACACACUGAUUUAUGGGGUCCUUCUCCCAUUAUUUCUAGAGAUGGUUAUCAGUAUUAUAUAAGUUUUGUAGAUGACUACAGCAGGUAUACAUGGAUUUAUCCUUUGAAGCUAAAGUCUGAGGCAUUAGAAGUCUUUAAGCUCUUUAAACUGCAGGUUGAAAAUCAGUUUAGCACAACCAUUAAGAUGAUGCAAUCUGAUUGGGGGGGAGAGUAUAGACCAUUCACUGAGUUUUUAAGCCAAUUUGGUAUCAUCUUUAGACAUCCUUGUCCUCACACUCAUCAUCAAAAUGGGUUAGUUGAAAGGAAGCAUAGACAUAUUGUUGAAUUGGGUCUGACUCUCUUAGCUCAAGCUCAACUUCCCUUUAAGUUCUGGUGGGAUGCAUUUCAUACUGCUGUAUAUCACAUCAAUAGACUUCCAUCUCCUGUUUUGCACCUUUUAACCCCAUAUGAAAAGACAUUCAAACACAAACCUGAUUAUGAUUUUCUCAGAUGUUUUGGGUGUUCUUGUUAUCCUUACUUGAGAGAUUACAAUAAACAUAAAUUUGCCUACCAUUCUAGUAAGUGCAUAUUCAUUGGUUACAGUCCUUCACAUAAGGGCUACAAAUGUUUACACCCUUCAGGUCGAGUCUAUGUGGCAAGACAUGUUACCUUUGAUGAAUCAGUUUUUCCUUAUGCCACUGAGUUUGUUUUUCAUAGUCAUGCUAAAACUGAUUCUCAAAUUUCUCAUUCCCAUACACCACAGCAAAUCCAUCAUAUCUCUUCUUUGCCUGUCAAUAACAGCACUGGUAAUCUGAACUCUGUAAGAUCUGGAAGCAGCAGUUCAAGUCACUCAGAUCAUCUAGAACAGACAGCAACUGAUCAGAAUUCACAACAAGCUACCAUAAAUGACAGGUCACCUUUUCAUACAUGUCCAACAAUUGUUGAAUCUAUACAAAAUAUUCCAAAACCUCCACAUCACUCUUUGCCUAUACAAAGUCACCAUCCUAGCAACACUUCUUUCUAUCCAUAUACACAACCAAAUACACAUCAGAUGAUAACCAGAAGUAAAGCAGGGAUUUUCAAACCCAAAAUUUAUACUGCUGUGCUUACUCACAAGGAACCAGAUACUGUGCAAGAAGCAUUAAAUGAUUCAAAGUGGCUACAAGCUAUGAGGGAGGAAUAUGAUGCCUUGAUUAAGAAUAAUACAUGGACAUUGGUUCCAAGACAAGCUGAUCAGCAUGUGGUUGGAAAUAAAUGGGUGUAUAGAAUCAAAUAUAAUACAGAUGGAAGUGUAGCUAAGUAUAAAGCUAGACUUGUUGCAAAGGGUUUUCAGCAAGUGGCAGGGAUUAACUAUUUUGAGACAUUUAGCCCAGUUGUGAAGUCAGCUACAGUUAGAGUAAUACUUAGCUUGGCAGUGAUGAAUCAGUGGAGAAUAAGGCAAGUGGAUGUCAAUAAUGCCUUUUUGAAUGGAGAGCUAACAGAAGAAGUUUUCAUGUCUCAACCUGAUGGCUUUAUUGAUGCUCAGAGAUCUGAUUUUGUAUGCAAAUUACACAAGUCUCUGUAUGGGCUCAAGCAAGCUCCUAGAGCCUGGUAUGACAAGCUUAAAGGAUGCUUAAUAAGCUGGGGUUUCACUACUACUAGUUCUGACACCUCAUUGUUUGUUAGGAAGAUCAAGACAUCUAUGAUCAUAGUUCUUAUAUAUGUUGAUGACAUACUGAUCACAGGUCCAAAUACUGAGGAGCUGGAAGGUUUUAUAACUGAAUUCAGCAAAACUUUUGCUCUAAAGGAUCUGGGAGUGUUAUCCUAUUUCCUUGGAAUUGAGGUAUUAUAUGAUGCAGAUUGUAUGUACUUGUCACAGAGAAAGUAUAUCAGAGAUUUGUUAUUGAAGGUAGAAAUGACUGAAUGUAAGGGCAUUGAUACACCCAUGAGUACUGGCUCUAAACUGCAAAAGAUAGUUCAGGGGGAACUUGGAUACUAUCUUGAAGAUCCAACUCAUUAUAGGAGCAUAGUUGGAGGAAUGCAGUACCUGAUACUUACCAGACCUGAGAUUGCGUUUGCUGUAAACAAGCUCAGUCAGUAUGUAGCUGCACCAACACUACAACAUCUAAUGGCAUGCAAGAGAGUUCUAAGAUAUCUAAAGGCAACUCAAGAUUAUGGUUUAAAAUUUUUCAGAGAAGGAAGCUUAACACUCACUAGUUUUACUGAUGCAGAUUGGGCAUGUGACUUAGAUGAUAGGAAAUCAAUUGGUGCUUAUUGCAUUUAUUUAGGCAAUAAUUUGAUAUCCUGGUCUUCUAAGAAACAAUCAGUGAUAACCAGAUCAAGUGCCGAGAGUGAGUAUAGAGCUUUGGCAUCAGUGAGUGCAGAGCUGACAUGGUUACAAUCCCUAUUUUCUGAGUUGGGAUUAAGUUGCAUAGAAAAGCCAAUCAUAUGGUGUGACAACAUUAGUGCCACUGAACUAGCAAAGAAUCCUGUGUAUCAUUCAAGAACAAAGCAUAUCGAAAUUGAUAUGCACUUCAUUAGGAAUAAGGUUCUUGCUGGUGAGUUGAUUAUUCACUAUGUACCAAGUGAAGAACAGAUUGCAGACAUAAUGACCAAGCCUCUUUCAUUUGUAAGGUUUAACUACUUGAGGUCCAAACUCAAUGUCCAUCUUUGUCCUCUGAGUUUGAGGGGGGCUGUUAGAGCAGCUCAUUAUGCUGAACAGAAGAAGGUGAAGACUAAGAUGAAGAAAAUACAGAGCAAGUUACAGGGCAAGUGUGUCAGCAGUGCCAGCUCAGCUAACAGCUCAGCAGAUUAGUUAAAGAUGGUUGUAAGCAUGAUGUGCAUUGUACUGAAGUUAGUUAGCUUUGAUUACAGUUAGUCUUUGGAUUAGUUAAAUGAAGUUACCGUGAUUGCAUUGUAUAUAAACAGGUGAUGCUUUGUAAUUAAAUGUUAAGCAAAAUAAAAAUCAAAGUUUGUUAAGGAAAUAUCUCCAGAAUUAUCAAUUCAUUUUCUUAGUAACCAAACAACUUUAUUUCAUUUUCUUUCACCAAGCAGCAACUUCCUCCGGAAAGCCUCAGUUUGAAACUCAUCCAACAAGUCUUCAACAUCAUAAGCCAAGUUCUGAAGCUUGCCAAGCCACUUCUUCACAAAUUGAUUAGUCGUCUUCUUCUCCUCAGCAUCAUCAAGCACCGCCUUGAUCAUCUCCAACAUAUUCGCCCACUUCAUCAGAUCGGCCUUGAUUUGCUCUUGGCGUGCAAAAAACAGAAUCCCCUCUGAAGCUAACUUAUUGACCAGCAAAUCAACGGACGCCGUAAGGAUUGCCUCUCCGAUGAUUGACAUUUUUUUUUCUUUCUUCUCUCUUUUUUUUUUGCAAAGAAAGAAGCAGAAUUUUGAGUUUUGAAAAGCAAAAUGAGAAAAUUGAACAGAAAGUGUGAAGGGUCAAGCAAAAUGCAGGUAACAAGUCUUCCACUUGUUGUUUAUUCCAGAACAGAGCCCACCACCCAUUAAUAAUUUAGCAAUUCACCAAUCACCAGUCACCACCACUCGUUGCCAGAUUCAAUAAAUAUAAAAUCGCAAGUUGAUAUUUGUAGGGUCAAGCAACAUUAAUCCAGUGUCCGGGUAAAUGCUGAAUAAAGAGGAAAAUGGAAUGUAUCUACUACGAACCUUCGCUUUACAAGUCUUCAAAGUCAUAAACUAUCAAAACGUUUCUCUCUCUGUCUUCAAAGUCCUACAAUAUUUUUAUAAUCACACAAUGAUAAUUUCAAUUAUCAUGUUAUAUUAAUGUCAUGUCAAAAUAAAUUAUAAUAAAAUUUUAACCGAAUAUAGUAAAUUCCACUUAUUUAUUAAAUAUAUAUAUUUAAUAAAAUAAUAACACAAUUAAUAUGUUAUCAAUCAAAUAAAAACUCUAAUGUGAAAACAAAAAUUGUCCCACCACCAACAAUUUAGCAAGCUUCAGUGCUUCACUUUAUUACACUAAAGUGAAAACAAAAUCGGCCCCCACCACCAUCAAUAAUUAAGCAAGCUUCAAAUGCUUGUGCUUGUCUGCUUGACGAACUGCGCAUGGGUGGACCAAGCAUCAUUGAGCAAUUCGAAAAAAAUUUAAAAAAAAAAAUCAGUGCCCAGCAAAGAGAAUCCAUUGAUACGCACAUAUAUCUAACAUUUAGAAAAUGGAAGUAGAAAUUGGAAUUCACUUUAUGGCUCGAUUGCAAUACACGUAUCAACAUUUAAUUAGAGUUCACACACACACUAAUUUUAAUUGAGAGAUAAAUUAAACAUAAAUACUUAGAUGUUUCUAAAUGAUUGAAUAAUGAUAUUAUUGGCAUUUAUAAAUUUCUAAGAUGCGAUAAUUAUGUGGGGAACAUAUAUUUAUGGUCAUAGAAAAUGGCGGUAAAAAUGGUACAAAUCUAAUAUAAUAAAAAAGUAUAAACUACAGUAAAUUAAUAUUUACUUCAAAGUAUGUUAUAAAUAUCACUUUUCUUAUUACGUUAUUUUUCUCCCACCGAUUGAGUUAUGCAUAUGGAUUAAGCAAAUAUGCAUCUAGGAUACAAUAAAGUGCUGAUUUGUUUGUUUACAUUGUACAUCAAUGAAAGCAAACAUGAAUAUUCUUGAAUGUUAUAAGCCUACCGAGAAUUAAUAUAUUAUUCUUACAAAAAAAUAAUAUAUUGGAUAUUUGAUGCAUAAAAAAUAAAUGUUAAUUGAUGAAAUUCUUUUGAAGAAAGAGGACUACAAAAAAAUGGUGUAGGAUCAUUUUAUUCAUGUCUUAUUGACAUUUAUUUUUAUGAAUGUGAGGGUAUUUUGGUAAUUUUAUGGACACAAGAGUUGUGUGUUGUGGAUAGAUGUUCGUUUUGAACUACAUUGCGUGCAGUUAGUCGUAUUUCACAUUUAUGAAAAGUAACUAUGUUGUUUCCUUGAUUAGGAGAAACUGCGAGUGAGAACCAAACCGCGAAUAUGAACGAUAGUCGAGUUUAAGCAUUGUCACUACGAAUGAAAUAUGCAAACUCAUUUUCAUAUUUUAUUAUGAUUUUAGAGUGUAGUAAACCAUAUUUGCAAAAUAAGAUUUUAAUGCUCUAAUUUAAUGAUUUCUAGAAUAAAUUUGAUUUACAUAUUGGUACAUUAUUAAAAUUUUAUGAAUAUUGGUUUUCCCCAUCGAUUUUGAGUAAAGUAUAAUAGUAUUUUAAAGAAAAUAAAAGUAAAUUUAAAGUAUGUUAAUGGAAAGAAAAGAAGACUUAAUGUACGAUUAAAAAUGUGUUAUGUAUGUGCAUAAAAAUUUGUUAUUAAAAAUCAUGAGGCAAAACCCUCUCCCUCUAGUUACAAUGAUACAGCUUAGAUGAGAGCCCUUCGGGGCCUCUCUGAACACAUAGAGAGGUUAAUAGGCUGUGUUUUUUAGUGCUUUUAUCUUUUGGAAGCUUAUGCAUGCCGUAUGAUAAUAAAAGAGAUUCAAGAUACAAAUAAGAUAGAGGCCUUUGAGCCUGUUUGAGUGCACAUAGAAGCUGUGGAUCAUGUACUUGGGUGCUUUUAUCCUUUAAGGACUAUUUUAUAUAUGCAGUAAGAUGAGAUAUGAUGAUAUAUAUGAGAUAUCACUUCAUUGAUCUAUCCUUUCAUACCAAAUUAAAAAUUGUUCGUGUUACUGAUGAAAAUCAUGAUAACAUUAUUAGAGAGCUUUUUUUUUCUUUUUUCCCUUCCCCUUUUUCUGUUUUGUCCUUUUGUUUGAUUGGGCGUAAUGAAACAGAUAUAACAAGGGACCAAGCAUGACCUAUAUAUAUCUUCAACAAGCAAGGAAACAAGGGAUUGAAUUUGAUGUGUCGCAGCACAAUAAGUUAAAUCUUAAAUUUGGACAGACAAGACAAAUAUAGAAGCAUCUAAUCCACCAAAGGAUAGACAUGGGACUUGACAUGAAAAUAAAUACAGACACAACAUAAACAUUUACUCCUCCAAUGAUUGUUUCAAUAUCUUUAUCCUUGAUAUUUGCUCACUUUUAUAAAAUAUAAGUCUGCUGGUAAAUUUUUUGUACCUUAAACAGUUUUCUGACUUAUGAGAAAAAAAUUAUUUUAAAAAAAAUAUUGCAGAGAAAAAUUAAAAAAAAUUGCUAAAGAGACAAAAUAAUGUCAGAAUGCUGACAAAAAUAAUGUUAAAAUUAACUCGUUUUAAUGUGUUGACAAUUGAGUGAUUAUUAUUAACUUAAGUUUGUUUAAUUGUCAAUUGAGUGAUUAUUAGGCCGAAUUGAUAAAGAACUUUUAAUAAUAUAUGAAAUCUCUUUUUUCAUCAAUCAUGUCUCAAAAUGGUUGGCGAGUAAGCAAUGUUUGGCUUGUCCAACUGCAUUGUCGUGGCCUUGAUAUUUUAACCUAAUAAUGCAAUGAGGUGAUGAUCUCAUUUGCUUUAUCUAUAAGUUAUCCCGAUUUAAUUUAAAACAGAUGUUUCAUUCCCUGUUCUUUGAAUUUUACAAGUUUUUACUGUAUGUACAGCAAUUAUUACCCUUACAAAUUUAAUUGGCGGUUUAAUCGUUAAGCAUGAAUAAUGAUAUGAUCUAACAUACAACUUUAUGUUUAGAGUGAAGUACCCAUAUUUAAAGGUUCAAUAAUAUAUGAAAUCUCUUUUUUCCUUCAAUAAAAAUAUAUAUCUCCCAUGUAUAAUUUUAAGUGAGACGAACGUAACGCGCGUCUGUAUAUCUCUAUCCAAUAAAAUUUUCUCCCAUAUACAUCCAAUUUGAAAUAAAUCAAUGGUGAUAGUGAUAUUAUUACGAGAGUAAAAUUACGAAACACAUGACGUGAUUUUAUUAAAUAACAGUAUCUUUAAAUCUCUGUCAUGGUCAAAAAAAAAUUUUGUCACUUUCUUUUAUGUCAAUAAAAAUUAGCUUUUUUUCUUUUUUCUCUUUAAAAGAAGAGAAUAACAAUGUUUUAAAUCAUUGUUUACAAUACAUGGAUAAACUAGGUAAUUAGUUAAAGACCUGUAAACCAAAAAUGGAUUUAUGUAUUCAUCUUAUCUCCACAUUAUAUGUUGAUGCUUUCAUUUCUACUCGUCCUUUAGUUUCUUCUCAAUGCAAAUGCCAGGAUAGGUCGAACAACAUUUCCAAUGUGCAUUGGUUCUGGCCAAAUUUUUCAUUUAAACAGUUGCACGAACCUUGAUCCAGUGCUGAUCACAAUCUUGUAAGAAGAUACGCAAAAAUCUUAUAUCAGCACUAAAUCCAAAUCUCAAUAGCAGAUAUCAAAAUAGCGAUAAGACUUACUUGAGAUCAAUCGCACAUUCACGAACUUUCACCGAUUGUAUCUCUAACUGUUGUUGCACGUAAAUGAGCGCCAUUUGGUAACUUGGCAUUAAGCUAAGGACCGGCAAAGACGUGCAUUGGUUCUGGCCAUUCCGGCAUUGUUUCCUCAGGUGAAGCUGCCCAUAUGAAUGCUUGUUUACGACAUGGAAACACAUCGUGUGCUGCUGCUUCCAAUGCAUCAGACCUCACCUAUAAUAACAACAAUAAAUAGAUGAAUAAUCUAAUCGGAGGUGAUUGUACAUAUACCGACAAUAGGGUUUAUUUUAACUAUGACACAAUUGCACAACUAAUUCCCAUAUUAAGGCUCAAUUUAGGACUGAUUCGGUAAUUAAGAAGUGUUUCGUAAGGACUUUCAAUUAUGAUUUGGAAGUUAAAGAUAAUUUUACUCAACAAUUGUUUGAUGAAAUUGUAUUAGCAGAUCUUGGCCAGGACUUGACCGAGUGUUUUCAAUCAGCUUUCUUUGGCUAGUCACUCAAGUUUAAGCCCUGUAAGUGUUAUGAACCUAAGAAAUUGAUUCAGGCUUUUUGCACCACCCCACAACUUACUAUUUUUUCAAAUAUAUUUACUUUAAAAAUCAGGGCAUCUUGAUAGGCACCCCUCCAUGUUAAGUUAAAUGAAUAUCGGUGGGUGAGGUUUAUAAUAAUAGACAGCAAUAACAUACCACAACUUCUUUAUGGACAUGCAAUCCAUCGGUCGCAGCAGAACUAGCUGACAGCGCCUGCAGGGAACAUGCAAUUAUAUUUUGAUCAGUGUUCACAAAGCUAAAGCAGUGUAAAUAACAGAUCAUGGCUCAAUUAAUUAAUUACCUGAAGGUGAGUAAAUAAUUGAGAAUGAAAUUAUAUUAUUAAGCAAAGACAUAAGCUAAAUUACCCCAUUUAUCUGUUUGAAUCUCGUCUUGAGAGCAAAUGGCGGCACUGACGAGGCUUGCUCAGUUUCGCCCUGCAUGGCUGCAUGUCUGAUAAGAGUGGAAAAAUAGUGCCUUUAGCUAAAUCGUAGAAUGUUAAAUCUGAUGCUACUGAAUAUGGAGAGUGAUUCAUAUACACGGUCUUCACGAAUAUAUAGUUGUUAAUUACAGGAGAAGUUGCAAUAUGAAGUUAAUUUGAAAUUUAUAUUUCUCACCUCGAAUAAUUUCUGGUAAAUUGCUGAUUCGAUAAGGUUAAACUUUCUUUAUGAUCAUCAUCAUCUUCUUGGUCUUCGCCUUCCGAUGUUCCUAUUUCUGGUGUUUCUCCACAUUUUCUUCCUCUUUUAACAACUUUCGUUGAAGAUUUUGACAGAAAUAUCAUUGUGAGAAGAGUAUUUCUAAAGUUUACAACUUGGAAAUGAGACCUUAUGUGAUAUGUACAUGAAGGAUAGAGUACAUGUCAGUAUUUAUAAGAAACAAUGUGAUGGUUUUAAAGAAACUAAAUAAAGUUUAUUAUUUAAUAAAAAGUCAAAUACAAAUCCCGAAGAAUCCGCUGUAUAAUCGGACAGAAUCUGGAAAACAUAGUCACUUUUAUUAAAAAGUUAAAUACAAAUCCCGAAGAAUCCGCUAUAUAAUCUGAUAGAAUCUAGAAAACGGAGGUACAUGCAUGGCAAUAUCAUUACUUUGUACGACUGGAUUAUUUUUACAAAUUUUUUUCCAAAGAAACUAAUAAAAUUUAUUAUUUAAUAAAAAGUCAAAUACAAAUCCCGAAGAAUCCGCUGUAUAAUCUGACAAAAUUUGGAAAACGGAUGCACAUGCAUGGCAAUAUGAUUACUUUGUACGACUGGAUUAUUUUUACAAAUUUUUAUCCAAUCCCUUGUUUGAUGCCUGUAAAUCAAUAUUUAAAUGUACAGUUAUUUUGUUAUGUUAUUUGAUUUUAACUAUUAAUGUGAAUAUUGGAAUAUAUAUUUAUAUUGAACUAAUAAAAUAAUUGUAUAAAAACAUUUGAAUAAACUUAAUUAUGAAUUAUGAAUUCAUGAUGUAAGGUAGCGUUUGUUUUUUAAUCUAAAAUCUUAGUGAGUCUGAAUUUAGCUAAAAUCUGAAUAGAUUUGAAUUGCAUAUGUCUAAAUGGCAUGUUUGUUUUCUCUUUUUUGAUGUCUGAAUGUAAGUGACAUCUUUUUUUUAUAAAUAAAAAAAGUCUGAAAUAUUAUUAUUUAACAUUUAUGUUCUUGUAAGAGUUAUUUAUACUUAUUAUAAAUUUUAAGAUUUAAAUAUGUGCACGUUACAAUUAAAAUCAAAGAUAUGUAGAAUUGAGUAAUUGAUCUUUAAAUAAAAAUAUUAUUAUAUUACUCCAAAUACAAAAUUGAAUCAAACUUAUUAUACUUUAAAAUUUAAAUUUAAUUUUAUAAUUUACAUCAUCUUUUUUACCAUUUAAGAUUGUAAAAGCCCAUUCGCCCAAACCUAGUCUUAAUUAGCUGUACAUAAGUGUAAAGGCCCAUAAGUGAAUGGAUAUGUGUAAUGCCCUCAACUUCAAGCCAGAGUUAUAACUAUUGGCAGAUCUGUGUAAUCCUUUUAAAACCGUUCUCCAAUUAUAUUAAAAGACAAAAUAAAUCUAAUUAAAUUCUUAUAUUUCUCUCUCUAUAAGUUUCUUUUUCUAAUGGAAAAGGACAUCUACACCCCUAAAGUUUGAAAAAAUGAUCAUUAACACCCCUAUGUUUUCAAAGAUGGACACCAAGACUCCCUUUUGAUGAUUAUACCCUUUAUCUUUAUUAUCUCAAAAGAAUUAACUCUAAUAUUUUACAAUAAAUAGAAAUAUGAUAUUAAAAUAAAUGUAAUAAUACGUACAUUUUAAAAUAAUUUCAAUAUUUAAAAAAUAUUUUAAUAUUUUUUAAUCUAUUACAUAUAUUUUACUAUAUUAAAGUAAAUUUUAUGAUAAGUAGAAUCAUAAUAUUAAAAUAAAUGUGUUAAAAAAUUAAAUUAUAUUGAAUAUUAUGUAAAAUAAUAAUUUUAGCAAUAUUAGUAUGUGAGAAUGUUUUUAAUUGUAGAACGUAUUUAAUGCAAAUAUUUAUUUAAAAUCUCUACAAUAAAAAAAUAUAUUAUUAAAAUAAAUAUAAUAAAUUAUGUAUUGAAAUAUUAAAUAUUUUAAUAUUUUUAGUCUACUGCAUAGAUUAUAUUAUUUAUAUGGUAUUUGUAUUUGCUAAAAAUUUUAAAGUCAGGUUUUUAGAAUAAUAGAGAUAAGGGAUAUAAUGGCCAAAAGAAGGUCAUGGUGUCCCUCCUUGAAAACUUAGGGGUGUUGGUGACCAUUUCCCCAAAUCUUGGGGGUGUAGAUGUUCUUUUUCCUUUUCUAAUUCAUUACCCCCACACAACUACAGCAAACAGCCAAAAUUUUGUGGGAUCUAUAGUUCAGGCAGAAGCGGCCGAAUGCUUCCGGGAACUCAGGCAGAUAGAACCUUGGUUGAUUUGUUUUUCUUCAUAUGAAAUUCUACCUAAUGGCUAUCCUUUUAAUUGGUUUAAAUUCUUCUUUUUUCUUUGAGUUGUUGAUUUAUAGUGCCUUACAUGCAAAAUUCAAAAUUUCGGAUGAUGAUAAUCUUGUUUUAGAAGAGAUUUCUAGUUAUGGUAGCAGCAUUCUUGAUCGUGGCAUCACAAGCACAUGCUCUGGUUUGCUUAGUUUGCCUUUUGUCUCUGAUAUUUUCUUGGCAUUGUGGGAUAUUGUUUCUUUCUUUUUUUUUUUGGUUAUAGGAUUCGGAGAUAUUGUAUAUGUAUGACGAUGAUAUAAUAAAGUGCUUUUGAUAAAUUCACCUGGUCGGUUUACUUCACCAACCAUUAAUGAGCAAAUCCUCCCAGUGACCCUCAAACUCUUCUACACAAUUAUAAUAAUUUCAGUUUUAUAUAUAGAAAAAUGAACAGCUCUCAAAUAUAUUAUUUGAUAAUGACAAACAAAACAACUCACUCCAAUAAAUCUCGUAAUAAAUAAAUUGUCCAUAUUGCAAGUCUUUUUAGGACGUAAAUAAAUAAAUUGGUCCAUAAUUGAAAAGUCUUUUUAAGGACGCAUUCAAAAAGAAAACAUAAAGGAAUGGCAUUGCAAGAAUAUGGAAUCAGAAUAACAGUGAUACAAAGAGAAAAAAAGGGGAUGGUCGGAUUGCUUUGUUUGCAAAAUUAUUGAUGCGGGGGUCUACUUGUUUUUAAUUCACUUUAUUAAUUAAUUAGCGAACCAAACAUGUAAUCAUUUGAAAAAGGAUCAUUGGCCCCAGCUUACAAAAGAUGAAUUUGUAAGACAUAUUAAUUUUGGUGAAAAUGUAGUGUUAUUAAGUUAUGAAUUCAUUAACUUAGAGGUAUUAAUAUUUACUUACGAUGGUGAUUAAUUUAUUUAACUUGUCAUAGUCUUCAAUUAACAAUGAAGUGAAAUCAAUUUAUGGAAAAAAAUAAUAAGUUUUUUACUUUUUAAGAUUUUAAUUCUUAGGAUUUCAUUUCGUUCUUUUUCGAUUAUUGACGUUGUCGAAGAAGGCAAUAAAAGCUUGUUGAAUUUCAUCAAAGGCUUGUAUCUCAUCUCACAAAUUGGCAAUAUCGAUUGGCGUCUUUAUAGGUGAAGCCAUCACGAAUUUAUCACUUCUUUCAUAUUGAUACCCAUAAAUUUCAACCUUAUUUUAUUUUUGAUGCACAAUCUAACUUAACAAAAAUAGUAUUCAAAUUGUCACAAAUUUUUUUUUUUAAAAAAAAAUCAUAUACAGUAGUUAAUUUUUCUUCUUCUUUACUCCAGGAUCCAGCUCCAUACCCCUCUUUUUUGUGGUUGUCCUGCUCAGCCGUUAGAUUUUAAUUACGUUAACCUAACGGUUGGGAUUUAUAAAUGAAUAAUGAAAUUGUGUUUGGCUUUUAUCUGAGCCCAUUGCAUCUAAUUGGUUUUGUGAUUUUUUCUCUUUCUUCUCUGUAACGCUUGACUAGUUCUGAAAAUAUCGGUAGCCAUCGACGGCAAAUAUGGAUUUACAUUUUGCAAAUUGUGGCGCCGUGGCGGGAUGGUAAAAACUAUAAUCAUGUGCCGUUAACAUUUACAUGGUUAAUGUCAUCAAGAUCACAUGGUUGCUAUUUAUGAAAAGAGAAUUGCUAGAAAUUUUGUUAAUCCACCAUUGCAACAGUAUAUUGUUAUAAAUUGCAUUGUUUCCCAUAUAACAAACACAAUAAACUCUCAAUAAAUUAAUAAACAGCUCUCAAAUUUAAAAAAGAAGCAAACAAUGCUAAGAACAUAUUUUACACAAGCUAUAUGGACAGGUCAUAUAGAUUUUGUUUUUAUACUAGGUAAUUAUUAAUUUAUAUGAUAUUUCCUUCAAACUAUAGUAUUUGAAUUUGAAUUUUUUUUUUAAUUUAGUAUUACAAUAAUAGUCGUGACUCAAUUGGUAUCGGUUUUGUAAGAAAAAAGUUGGGGAAAUAGACAAACAAUGAAGGAACAAGUUAAGCAGAGCCAACAAACAAGGGAAAGUGAAUUACUGUCCUUGAGCACAUUAAUAAUCUCGGCUUUCUAUGUACAAUUUUGUAACUUCAUGUCACAUACUAGAGUCUUCUGGGUUUUGUUGCAUCAAUUCUUUGGUGUUUAUCUUGUUUUAUUAUUUUAUGAUGCAAGAGUCCUGGUAGCGAUGUAUUUGGAGUAAAAAGAUUUAAUUUAUUUUUCAUUAUUAUUAGCAAACGUUAUUAUUAAUUAAUCAACCCAUUGAGGUAUAUUGGUUUCUUUGUAACAAUUAGCUAAUUGCUUAAUACUUUUUUGUACUUCUCGCCAUGAAAUCACGAAAUACUUGCAAAUAAGAUCAUAGAGGUGGUGUGUUGUGAUGUGAUAAAUUUAGUUCAUAUCUAAAUUAAGAGAUGAUUCAUAUAUAGGCACAUACUGAAUAAAGAUAUUUAAAUACAAGCAUUCAAUUUUACGAUAUACCUGAUAAUCAAAGGUUUAAUGCUCAGGUUAAAAGGGAGUGAAUAGAAAUAAAUCUAAAAAGAUAAAAAGAAAAACAAGUGAACAUGAUAAUUUAUUAAAUAAUAAACUAAAUUUAUAUCUAUUUUAAGAAGUGUUAAAUCUUUUACACUCUAAAAUUUAUUUUGAGCACUCAUAUUUUUUAUCACAAAAAACUUCAUAAUUCCAUUUACUAAUAAGGAUGAUUCAAUAUAAGUAAAUAGGACAAUAAUACUUUUGACAUUCAUGAAGCGCGCACACAUUCAUGUAAAAAUCUUAAACCUUAAAUUGUAGAACACUCUUCAUCAAAACUCAUUUAAAAGCUUUUUUUUUUUAGUUAGAUUUCGAGGAGGUUCUAUGGGAAUGUCUAACUGCUGAAAAACAAAUAAAAAAACUAGAUACAAGAGUAGAAUAUUCUCAUUAAAUUUUAAUUUUUUUCACAACAUGGAUUGCAUAUUAUACACAAAUAACUGUUCUACAAAUAUGUAGAAGCAAUCUCAAUCAUCCAAUUUUUUUUUCAAAUUUUAACGAAUAUAAAUUUUAUAUGUUGGAUAACUAUGGAAAAUAAGAUUAGGAAAAUGAUAUUAUCAACAAAUAGGGAAAGCAAAGGCGGUUAAUAUUGGUGCAACGAAUAUUUUUAUGGGUGUACUAAGAAAAAUGAAGAUAAUAAAAGGAAUGCUAUUGGUAUAUUAACCGACGAAUAUUUUUAUGGGUGUACUAAGAAAAAUGAAGAUAAUAAAAGGAAUGCUAUUGGUAAUAUCAAUAGCAUUCUUUCAUAUGAUGCACAAAUUACCUUUAUCACUUCUUUCAUAUAAAUACUCAUAAAUUUUAUCCAAAUUAUCAAAAAAAAAAAGAAGAAAAAAAUCAUAUAGUUAAUUUUUCUUCUUCUUUACUCCAUUAUUCAAUAGGAGUAUAAUAAACUAGGAGAAAAGAGAAAUUAAGGAGAAAAUUAGGGUGAUUAUUGCAAUGAAAAAAACUCAGGCAAGUGCUUAUUUUUAGAUACAUGCGUAGAGUUGGCAAAAUUUGACACGACUCGAUUACCCGACACGAAUACGACAUAAAUAAAUGGGUAUGGGUCAUCAAAUUUAACACGAUUAUUAAAUGGGUCGGGUCCGGGUCAACACGAUUUUUUUCCAUGUCGGGUUUGAGUUAAAAUUCUUGACCCAUUUACCCGAUCAAUGACCCGAUUAUAUUUUCUAUCUUAAAAUAAUUUACAUAUUCUUAUCAUUAAAACUCAAAUAUUAGAGAUGAUUUUCUUUUUUUUUAUUCUUUAAAAAGGUGAAUAUAAACACAGUGUUUUAUUUAUAAAAUUUUAAAUAAAUUUAGAGCUUCAAUAGUGUAAAUGUGUAAAAAUUGAUAGACAUGUAUAUUUUAUAAUAUUGAUAUAUAAUAUUAUGUAUAUAUAAUUAAAACCUCAAUAGUGUGAAUGUGUAAUAUAUUGAUAGAUAUGUAUAUUUUAUAAUAUCGAUAAAUUAUGUAUGUAUGUAUGUACAUACGUAUGUAUGAUAGUGUGUAAAUAUUUGAUGUAACUUUUAUUCAAUAUAUAGAUAUUAAACGGGUUAUUGGGUAAUCCGAUUAUUUUUCUGUGUCGGGUUUGAGUCUCAAUAUUUUGACACUAUUAUUAAAUGGGUCGGGUUUGGGUCGACCUAAAUUUGACACGACACGACACGAACACGACCCGAUGACCCGUUUUGCCAGCUCUAUACAUGCGUGGCAUUCAUUAAUUUGACCAAAAAUAAAUGAAUUUAUUUGUAUUUUAAUCAAAAUCGAGGGACAUCAACAAAAAUUUUCCACUCCACGUAUUUAUCAUUUUCUCGUUAAGAAAAAAAAAAUUGCAUAAAAUUAAGAAACCAGUAGUCACUGAACGGGAGAAACAGAGUGAAGAAGAAACCCUAGGAACAAUCCUAGAAGAAGAAGAAUAUGAUGAUGAAGAUACGGCCAUGCCCAACGUUAAGCACAACCCUAAAACAAAAACAAAAGACAACUCUUUGGAGUCGAGCGAUGCCUCUGACUCCGACUCGGAUUCUAACUCAGAAGACGAAGCAAAACAGAACAUUGAGCUUCAAAACUAGAGUAUCAGCUGUCCAAUGAACCUUCCAAUUACGACACCCAUGUUCAAGUAACUUCAAUUCGCAUACUUAUUCAGUGAUUUUGUGGAUACUCAUUUGCUUGUUGUUUCUUAAUUGGGUUGCGAUAAAAAUGGCUUUUUUUUCUUCAGUAUAUAAAGGUUUUGAGAAAAAUGGGUGAGAUAGAGAAGCUGAGACAAGCUAGGGAAGCGAUGAAACAGAUUUUUUCCAUUGACUCCUGCUAGGUGGCAAGAAUGGGCGAGAGAUGAAGCCUCUAUUUCAACUGGGUAUCUGUCAUUUCCUUUUUGCAGUGGUUUUCGAUUUUUUGAACAAAUAUUUUUUUCGCUUAGAGAUAUAGAUGUUUAUGUUCGUUAUUUGCUUAUGUAAAAAGGAACAAAACCUGCUUAAAAGGUAUUAAAGAAAGAAAAAGAGAACCAAUUUGAAGAAGGGGAUACUUAUAGUGGGAUUUCUAUUCUUUGGGGUUUAAUUGAUGGGAGAAGAAACACCUUAUAUGUUUACAGAAUUAGACAUUCGAUCGCUGAGUUAGUUGAGGAAGAUAUUUAAUCACAAUGUAUGAUGUUGUUUCUGUUGGCCUCAGCUAAUUGUUAAGAUUUCAUACUUUCAUUCAACAAUGCAAUAGACUUUGGUUGGGUCUACCUUAGUUGGGUGUUCUGAGGAACCAAUGAGUGUCUUGAGAAAACUUGGGUGGAGUGUGGAUCAUUUUCAGGAUUCAGUUUCCAAGAAAGCAAAAACGAAGUCGGAGUCGUAGUUUAAAUUAAUUUAUGUUUUUGUCUUUUUCUGUGAGCCCAGUGAGCUUUUGUUUUCACUUUGUUCUCUUUUGCUUCUUUCCCUCCUUUUCCUGCUGUUUCUUGACAAUCAAGCAGAUCAGGAUUAAGUGUUUACUUUUGGUGUAAUUAUUCACCCUAACUUGAAUAAUACAUAGUUUUAGUGCUAUCAAAAUAGGAAGUGAAUUAAUAUCUGAAGCUGACUUGGGAGUGGAAUGUGUGUUAGUAAAAAUAUGCUAUUAUGGUAGAUAGAUUUGCAUUUUAGGUAAGACAAAUAAUUACCGCUGUUAAUUUAUUUCAAUAAGUUCGUACAUCAUUCGAUAAUAAGUCGAAGAUUUUAAUGGUUUUGUUUCCUGAAAAUUUGUCAUCAGUGCAUGGACAAAGUUCAAUGGAUGAACUUCUCUUAGUUAAUUCGAGUUCUUUAAGAAACACUAAUCUUGCUCUGUACUUUGGAGUAUUUUAAUAAUUGAUGUUAAGAUUUGCUAAUGUGAAAAGGAAGAAAACCUGCUUAAAGGUAUUAAAGAAAGAAAAAGAGAACCAAUUUGGAGAAGGGAAUCCUUAUAGUGGGAGUUCUAUUCUUUGGGGUUUAAUUGAUGGGAGAAGAAACAGCUUAUAUGUUUACAGACAUAGACAUUUGAUUGCUGAGUUAGCUGAGGAAGGUAAUUAAUCACAAUGUUUGAUGUUGUUUCUGUUGGCCUCAGCUAAUUGUUAAGAUUUCAUACUUUUUUCUGGUUUUUCAUAACUGUGACCUAAAGCUUAAUGUAUACUUUGAUAAUUACAUAAUCGGCUUCUUGCUGAUAUUUGGCUUUAAUUUGUAGACCUGAGGCUCUUUUGGGAGUUGGGAAGAUUUACGAAAGAGGAGUUUCUGAUUAGCUGGUUUGUUCUCUUUAUGCCUACAGAAUUUGAGUUCACUGGUAAGCUUGAUUCACCUUGUUUUGAUUUACUACCAAGAGGUGUUAACAGUUCAUCAUGCACAAAAAGAGGUGGGGGAAAAAAGAAAUCUUCUUGCUAGAUACAUAAAUUUAAUAGUUGAAUCAUUUUCAACCAAAGAAAUGUGCUGAAGAGCAGCAUUUUCGUUUAUAUCAAAGUUCAAUUGCAUCUUAUAUCAUCUGUUUACAUCUCCUUUGUGGUAAAUAAAGUCCUUGAUGAUGACAAUAAGAAUCACAGAAGAAGUUGUUAAUUUCAUAUCUGGAGAUUUUCAUCAUAGUAGUUCAUUGAAAGUGAAGACAGCUGAGUACUGCUUUUUCUGAUGCAGUCUGUCCCUCUUUGGUGUGUUUAUUUGAAAUUUGUGCACGAAUAUGAUCCAUCUAUACAAGAAUGUCCCUAAUAAAAUAUCACAAAGGUGCCUAAUACAGUGAAAUUAACAUAUUCAGCUCAUGAGAUUGCCAUUAUAUAUAUUGAAAAAGAAAUUAAUAUAAGAAACUGAAAAUUAAUUGACACUGGAUCAAAUUGGAUUGUUAGUUGUUAAUUAUGAUGGCAAUAUAAUCUUGGUCUUUUAAUUAUCAUCUAGGUAAUGCAUGUGCACUUUCAUUUGUGAGAGAGAAAAUAUUUGACAAUCACGAAAACAACAACAAUUCACUCCCAUAAACAACAUAAUAGAUGCAUGGUCUAUAUUGCAAGUCUUUUUAUGAUUUUAAUUAAAAGAGAAAAUGCAAAGGACAUAUUAUAUAUAAUUGAAUGUUCUCCUUGAUAAUUAGUCAAAAUAACACCAAUCUGGCUAACUAAUACAAUCAUCAUAAUUAUCCAAUUUUCAUUUUAAUUAUGUCCAAUCAUGCUAAUUUAAUAAAGAACACUGAAUACAUGAGUAUUUAUAUGUUCAACAACUUUGGCUGAGUAUGAAAAAUAUAAGAGCUGCAUUUAUGCUUUGUCUUAUUAAGUAGGACAUGACCAUAUUAUGUUGCAUUUGUCAGAAAACUGAAAAUUAUCGAAAAAGGAUCUUAAAAGCGAGGUGUUAAAUUGUGAGCUUAAAAAUGAGUUUUAGAAGUUUCUGACAUGUUGGUUUGUAUCCUUGAUUGUAAAUGCCCCGUCAGUGUCUGGAUGAAACAGGAGAAUAUGACAUCUGUGUAUUGUCUUUUACUUCCAGUAAGUGAAUCACAUGUUCUUCACGUGAUUUGACAUACUUUAUACGGAUUUAGCAGUUGUUUUGGUCACUUAUUGAAGCACAAGUUAAGCACGUGAUUCAAGGUUGUUAACUGACCAUUGUAAGGCGGGAAAAUUCUGGGUUUCUUACAACAAACCCAGAAGGCAGCUGGCGAGUGGGAGAUGUUUCUAGAUUCUUCAUGAUCUGUAUAUAUAGUCUUAGAGGCUAUAGUUGAGCCAUAUGAAAAGCUUGUAACUUCUUAAUGUUUGUAGCUUGUUCUUGGUAAUUGCUCUGACGAUGGAAGUGAGUUAAAAUGAUAUCAACUUUUAUUUAUGGACAGGUUAAGAAAAUUUUUGAGUUCCUGAAAAAUGGCUUCCAUGAGAUCAGCAGUUCUUUGGAUUUAUCUUUCGAAUAUGAUUUGGUUGCUGAUGAGAAAAUUCCAUUCCUAGCUGAUCUUGCCAGUGUUCUAAAUGAGCAUUCCUUUUUCCCAUAUGAGUUGGAACCAAAACAUUCAGGAAUAUGAUUGCUGACUUCAUGAAAAUGUACCACCAUAUUCCACUAAAUGCUGAUGUGAGAAAACCUUCACCACUCAUCUGUUUUUUUACUUCUCUGGACAAGUAAUUUUUAUAUUGUCUGUCCUAGAUUCUGUUUUCCCUGAUGCAAUAUUUCAGUUUCUUUGCACGUGAACUUGGAGCAUUCAUAUUAGUUUAGGAGUGAAUCUAUUGGUCAUUUACUUGUUUGUAACAAAUAACGUAUGAAACAAUCUUGUUAUUUUUUAUUCUCAAUAUGUAGAGCUCUAUGGACCAAUUGCCUGUCUUCUGUUAUCCUCAUUAGAAUUUCUUCAGACUACUUCCACUUCAUGCUAUUUGUGAUAAUUUGUAUUGUUUUUGUGGUCUUUCUUAUGUCUGUUGGACAAAUACUGUAAUAUGAAAUUUUAUCUAAUGGUGUCCUUUAUUCCUUUUGCAUCCUGUCCCCUCUAGUAGUUAAAUGUAUUUUUGGAUUUGUCAAUUUAUUUGAUUUGAUGAAAUCUUGAUUCUCAUGUUAUCUAUCUGUUUAUCCAACUUGACCAUGGAAUGUGUUGUUGCUGUGAGUUACGCUGCACGUGCUUGUUAUUCGUCUAGUCCUUUUAUGUAAACAUACGGGUUUGGAUGUACUCGUCUAUAUACUGGACCUGAGAUAUUUGCACCUGACCUACUUAUUGAUGUACGUGUAAAAUGAAGAACUUUUUGAGAUCUGGAAUGGAUCAAGACUUGCAAUUUUUAUUUGUAGAUUUUCCACUCUCCAGUCCAAUUAUAAAAGACAGUUUGUGAAUGCUGCAUGAAUAAACUAGCCAAACUUAAAGAUGCUUAAUUGCCUCUUUCUCUUCUUUCGUAUAUGAGGUAAAACAAUCCACAUUCCUAACUUUUCUUCUCCACUUGUUUCUCAAGAAUGUUGUCUUUCCUUCAAGAGCUGUGUGGCAAUUGUGAAUGCUCUUCGAUUGUUUUCACCUCUCCUCGAACAUCUAACCAGACACUUACCGAAGCAAUGGUUAACAAGUUUAGCAAUCAAGGUAGGAUCUAUUUCUGAUUUAUUUUUGUGUUAUUUUUGACAUAGUUGAAGAUGUCAUUUUUUGGCAGAUUUUCUUUGCUAUUCUUGGAACAAGUAAAUAGUGCUUAUUGCCUUGUUUGCACACAUACUAGUCUAGACACACCACAGAAGUUUUUGGAUGAUGAAAUAUCAGAUAGGAACUCAGCACAUUGUUUACCUGUUGCCUUUAUUCCUCAAGUGACAGUAAAAACUAGUAAUUGCAGUAGAUGAUAUAUUUAAUGAAAAUUACUGGGCAGUCAGACUUUUGUGUUGACAUUGAAGGGGGAGAUGGACAAAAGUCGAAGGAAUAUAAUGAGUGCUGAGUUGGAACAUGUUAAUGCUCAUUUGGAAAAUGGGUGAGGAUCACAGUGCCAAAGCUUGCAGCCUAAGGUUAUCAACAUUGAUGAAGAGGCUGCUGGUAAUUCUUCCGGUGAAGAUAUUAACGCCACGAAAGCUUAAAUGUAAUUGAUUAAAGGAAGAAGCGCUUGCUUUGCUUGAUGUGCUAUUCGUUUAUGAUCUUUUCCUGGUUUUGUUGUGAGAUGUUUCUCUUUGGAUUUUCUGUUUAUUGUACUUUGAUGGGUUUUUGAGGAUGACUUGUAUGUAUUAACAACAAUUAAGUGCUUUUUAUAUAUCCCUAGUCCUACAGCACUAAAAAAGAAAUUAAUACGCUUGGUUUAUUGUUAAUAAAAUAUAUAUAUAUAUAUAUAUAAGCGGACGCUGUAUAACAAUAGACACACGGCGCAUACAUAAAAUGUAAAUAAUUUUUAAAUAUUAAACAUUUAAAAUAGUCAAGCAUAUUAACAAUUUACAAUUUAGAUUAUAUGUAGACGAAAUAAUGGUAAUAACAAUAAAGUACUUUUUAUAAAGUCCUACAAUAGUAAAAGAAUUAAUGAGCUUGGUUUUUAUUAAUAAAAACCAACAGAAACAACACCCGAUUUAAAAAAAUUACAUACACAAAGACACCCGAUUUAAAAAAAUAAUUACAAUGCUAACAAUAAAAUAAUUCAAUCGUCCCCUGAUCAAUCAUCAAAAAUCCAUUUGUUAUCUAUUUCAACAAGAGGUAUAUGGGUUAACAAGUCCCAAUAUUGUCCUCCAUCCUUUCUGCACUUCUCUGCUAUCAACGAACAUCCAUAGAUCCAUAAUUGCAAAAGUGAGGAAGGCAGGCCCUUCUCCGGAAAGUAUUUGAGCUUGGGACAAUCCUUGAGAUAUAAACGAGUGAGGUUUUGAAGAUCAACAAUUGAAGAAGAUAGGCGUUCCAGAUUUGGAAAAGCUUCAAUCGACAGAGAUGUUAGAGAGGCAGGAAGAGGAAGCGCGGUCCCUAAUCUUUUGUCCUCUAGUGCAAAUGACACCAUGUCGUCAUCACAUCCUUUGAUUGUGAGUUCUUGCAGAGAGAAGAAUCUGUGAAAUCCCCGGCCCCGCUCAAUCAUUGACUUCCAAAUCUCCAUAUUACCCCAAAUACAAAGUGACCGAAGGUUGGUGGGAAGGCCAUCUUCUUCAAGGCUUGGAAGCUCACCUCCUAUUCCUAUUGUUAAGUAUUGAAGAGUGCUCAGAUUAUGCAAUCCCUUGGGUAAGGCCUCUAGUCUCUUACAAUCAUAUAUCCGCAGCUUAGUGAGUUUCGCACAAGGCAAUCCCCCUUCGGGAAAGGACACUAGAUUUCCACACAACUCAAUUGUAAUCUCUUGAAGCAGCCGGAGAUUAUGUAAACCACUCGGUAAAAUCUUCAGAUUUUCACAAUUAAUAAUACUGAUUGUUUCAAGAGAUGUGUUGUUGUCCAACCUUUCUGCUAUUGACUCCAGCUUUGAACAUCGCCAAACUAAAAGGGACUUAAGAGACGGAGGUAGAUUGCCAACUUCAAGGGACUCAAGCGUGGCAGGUAACUCGUUUUUUGAAAAUAUACAUGUCAGUGAUGGACAAUUGAAAACAAACAACUCCUCGAGAAGAGAUGAGGUGUACCUUCCGCUGCUGCUGCUACACUGGAUGCCCUCUUCCACUGUCAAAGUCCUUAUAUUAUCGCAACACCAGAUCGUCAACCCCUUAAGGCUCGAUGGUAGCUGGACAGCAGCAAUAUAUGUCAACGAAUGGCAGUCCUCAAUAUUCAAGAUCUCGAGAGACGAAUUGGUGUCGCACAUCCAUGCCUCUGGUAACGAUUUCAGUGCAUCACAAUGCAUAAUCUUAAUUUUCUUCAACUUGGAAGGCAGAGCAACCUCAGGAAAGGAAACAAGGGAACUGCACUUGUAGAUUUCUAUCUCUCUCAAGGAACUGAGGCUGAGCGAUGAUUGUGGCAGCUUCACAAGGCCUUCGCAAUCUCUCAAUUCUAGAUAUUCAAGUCUGCAUGACAACUCGCAGAGCUGCUGUUGUUGGUCUUUCUCUUCCUCCGCCACCAAGGAUUGAAGUUUGGGACAGCUGUCAAUCGUCAGGCUUUUGAGAGAGCAAAUGUCUUGCAGUAAUUCGUUAUGACUCGUCCAUAUAUAUGUCUGCUCUUUCAUAUUUUCUAUCUCCAAUUCUUCCAAUUUUGGUAGUUGCGGCUUCAAUGGCCCUGCAAGAAACACUUGAUUUGAUGUUUCUCGACAAACCACCGAAUUCUGUGACCCGAGAUGAUCAGUUGCACUUCUCCACACAACCUUUUUACAUCCACCAAUUUCAAAUUUGCAAAGAGCUGGAAGACUUGCAACUGAAACUAGCAAUUCUUCACAUCCUUCAAUUACAAGUAUCUCCAAUGCGGGAAGGUGUUCUGGAAAUGUUCCUUGCAGCUUAGAACAGCUUAAAAUGUGAAGCUCUCUCAAUUUAGGAAACCGUUCAACUCCUUGACUAGAUCCAUGAGGAAUCCAGUCUUCCCACUCUUGCAUGUCUUCAAAACGAAGAGUCUCCAAGCAUGGAAAUGGAAUUGGAGCGUCAUUCCCAUAGAACUCCGAACCCAAACUCCUUACUCUGCUCAUUCUACGUACUGCAAGAUGCUUUAGAGAGGGUAGUUGGCCGACUGACGGCAGGGCAGUACACAUGUCACAAUUUUCAAAUUUUAGGGUCACCAAAUUUGAGAAUGAGGAAUCUCCCAACCAAGUUGGAAAUUUCAUACCUCCAUAGCCUUUGAUACAAAAUUGCUCCAGAUUUGUAUGAGGUUUUAGCAUGUCAAGCACGCCCAUUUCAGUUUCUGCCUCCCUUGAAGAUGAACCAUCGGUACUGCAAGUCCAAUUAAGCGAUAAUUCUUUCAGAUUCUUCUUUCCAUCCAACCGAGCCUCCUUUGCAUCACCAAUGUCUUUUACAUUCUCUAAUUUUGAAAUUUUAAGUGUCCCCUGAAGAUGGAUCAAUGACUUUAGCUCUCGUAACCCAGAACCAUUGUCUUUUCCCACAGCAAAAUUACACAACGUCUGAAGACAAGUCAGCUUACCAAUUCCUAGUGGCAUUUCCUCCAACGAAUCUGUAUUUGAAUUAUUGAGAUGAUGCAAUUUGGUGAGGUUUCCCAUGUCUGCACACAACUUCUUCAGUAGCUUACAGCCCUCCAACAGAAGGGUGUGCAAAUUGUAAAGCUUGCUGACUGAUUCAGGCAGAGUUUUAAUCUCAGUUCCAGACAGGUUGAGGUACCUUAAAUACCUCAAAUCACCAACUGAAUCCGGCAGCUCGGAGAUGCGAUAUCCACGCAGAGAGAAGACCCUUAAGCUUUGGAGUUUGAACAACUUAGGAAGAAUGCUAUGAGCCAAGUAUCCACGCGCACUAUUUGACAACAUCAGUGGUAAAAAAUUUCGCAAAUGUUGGAUAUCAUACAAUUUCUCAAACCUUUUAACGCCGUCACAUUCUCCACAAAUAUAUGAUAGAUGACGAAGAUUUCUUGAAAAACUUUGCUGCUUGUUAACCUCUGAGAUAUACUCCAUUCUGAAGUACAUUUCCCCAGCAGCCCAUUGAGCAAGGUCGUUGACGAGGUCAUGCAUCACAAAUCGUGAUCUACUGCUGCUUGAUUGCUGGAAAAAAGAUCUUGCACGUAGCUCUUGAAAGAACUUUCGACCUAGAUCUUCACUAGGAUUCCCGCUCUCUCCGUGAUCCAAGAAACCCGAAGCACACCAUAAUAAAAUUAUCUCCUCCUCUUCAAAUUCGUAAUCCUUUGGUAACAAUGAGCAGUAUGCAAAGCAUUGUUUCAAAGUUGGAGGAAGAUAAUAAUAGCUCACUGCAAGGGCUGGUAUAAUGCGACAUCUCUCUUGUGGUAAUUCCCAUAUCUUGCUACUAAGCACAUCUUCCCACUCACGUCUGUCAUGUUUUCCACGUAAAAGUCCUCCCAGUGCUUUUGCUGCCAAGGGCAAGCCAUUGCAUUUUAUCACUAUCUUCUUGCCAAUGUCCUCCAAUGACUUAUGAGAACUGAAAUCUCUCGUUCCCAAAGAGUGCUGAGCAAACACAGACAGACAAUCCUCAGUUGACAAGUUUUUCAAUUCAUAAGCUUGAUCCGGGCUCAUGAUUUUUGCAACCUCUUGAUUGCGAGUAGUGACAACAAUCUUACUUCCCUGUGCGCCAGCUUCAAAUGGAAGGCUGAGGUCGACCCAAUCAGUGUAAUCCUCAUUCCACACGUCGUCCAAAACUAGCAAAAACUUCUUUCCAAACAGGUGUUUCUUCAAUUUCUCUUGAAGCAAAUUUAAGUCCUGAUUAUCCACAUUCUGGUCAGCAGCAAUGGAAAUUAGGAUUGAUUUUGUAAGCCUGAAAACAUCAAAAUCAUCAGAGACGCAAGUCCAUGCCUUGAGAUCAAAAUGAUCCUCCACCUGCUUAUCAUUAUAGACAAGCUGAGCAAGAGUGGUUUUACCCAGCCCGCCCAUACCUAUAAUAGGAAUAACAGAGAAUCCACCAUCAUUUCUUGAAUCAUCCUUCAACAACAAUUCAACAAUUUCCUUCUUUUCUGUUUCCCUGCCAGAGACCUUGGCUUCAUUCACCAAAGAGGUUGUCUCUAGCCUUUGACUGGCUUUUUUGGACCCUCCAGCUGAACUUACGUUCAAACCCAGCGAGUCUUUCUGUGUCACAAUAUCUUGAAAUCGGUCGUUGAUCUCUUUGAUUUUGGACAUCAUGGCGUAAUCGAACUGAAUCGAUUGUGGAGUAAAAGUGGUGCAGCAAGUAGGAAUGAGCUUCCGAAACUUACUUGUUCUUGUACGACUGCUACUGGGUUGAUCCUGAGCAGCAGCUGGAUCUCCAUUUCCAAGCAGCAACUUCCUCCGUAAAGCCUCAGUUUGAAACUCAUCCAACAAGUCUUCAACAUCAUAAGCCAAGUCCUGAAGCUUGCCAAGCCACUUCUUCACAAACUGAUUAGUCGUCUUCUUCUCCUCAGCAUCAUCAAGCACCGCCUUGAUCAUCUCCAACAUAUUCGCCCACUUCAUCAGAUCGGCCUUGAUUUGCUCUUGGCGUGCAAAAAACAGAAUCCCCUCUGAAGCUAACUUAUUGACCAGCAAAUCAACGGACGCCUUAAGGAUUGCCUCUCCGAUGAUUGACAUUUUUUUUUCUCUCUUCUCUCUUUUUUUUUUUUUUUUUUGGGGCAAAGAAAGAAGCAGAAUUUUGAGUUUUGAAAAGCAAAAUGAGAAAAUUGAACAGAAACUGUGAAGGGUCAAGCAAAAUGCAGGUAACAAGUCUUCCACUUGUUGUUUAUUCCAGGAAAGGGAAAAUAAAAACAGAGCCCACCACCCAUUAAUAAUUUAGCAAUUUACCAAUCACCAACCACCACCACUUGUUACCAGAUUCAAUAAAUAUAAAAUUGCACGUUGAUAUUUGUAGGGCCAAGCAACAUUAAUCCAAUGUCUGGUAAAUGCUGAAUAAAGAGGAAAAUGGAAUGUAUCUACUACGGACCUUCGCUUUACAAGUCUUCAAAGUCAUAAUAAUUACUUUAUUUAUUGAAUUAAUUUUCAUGCUAAAAUGAAGACUUAAAAGUAUACUACAAUAUUUUAUAAUCACAAUGAUAAUUUUAACAAUCAUGUUAUAUUAAUGUCGUGUAAAAAUAAUUUAUAAUAAAAUUUUAGCCGAAUAUAGUAAAUUCGACUUAUUUAUUACAUAUAUAUAUUUCAUAAAAUAAUAACACAAUUAAUAUGUUAUCAAUCAAAUAGAAACUCUAAUGAUUGAAUAAUGAUAUUACUGGUAUUUAUAAAUUUCUAAGACGCGAUAAUUAUGUGGGGGACAUAUAUUUAUGGUUAUAGAAAAUGGCGGUAAAAAUGGUACAAAUCUAAUAUAAUAAAAAUGUAUAAACUGUAGUAAAUUAAUGUUUACUUCAAAGGACGUUAUAAAUAUCGCUUUCCUUAAUACGUUAUUUGCUCCCAUUGAUUGAGUUAUGCAUAUGGAUUAAGCAAAUAUGCAUCUAAGAUACAAUAAAGCAUUGAUUUGUUUGUUUACGUUUUACAUCAAUGAAAGCAACACAUGAAUAUUCUUGAAUGUUAUAAGCCUAACAAGAAUUAAUAUAUUAUUCUUACAAGAAAAUAAUAUGUUAGAUAUUUGAUGCAUAAAAAAUAAAUGUUAAUCGAUGAAAUUCUUUUAAAGAAAGAGGACUACCAAAAAAAAUGGUGUAGGAUAAUUUUAUUCAUGUCUAAUUGACAUUUAUUUUUUAUGAAUGUAGGGGUAUUUUGGUAAUUUUAUGGACACAAGCGUUAUAUGUUGUGGAUAGAUGUUCGUUUUGAACUACAUUGCGUGUGGUUAGUCGUAUUUCACAUUUAUGAAAAGUAAUUAUGUUGUUUCCUUGAUUAGGAGAAACUGCGAAUGAGAACCAAGCCGUUGAUAUGAACAAUAGUCGAGUUUAAGUAUUGUCACUAUGAGUGAAAUAUGCAAACCCAUUUUCAUAUUUUAUUAUGAUUUUAGAGUGUAGUAAACCAUAUUUGAAAAAUAAGAUUUUAAUGCUCUAAUUUAAUGAUUUCUAGAAUAAAUUUGAUUUACGUAUUGGUACAUUAUUCAAAAUUUUAUGAUUAUUGGUUUUCCCUAUCGAUUUUGAGUAAUGCAUAAUGGUACUUUGAAGAAAAGAAAAGUAAAUUUAAUGUUAAUGGAAAGAAAAGAAGACUUAAUGUACGAUUAAAAAUGUGUUAUUUAUGUGUAUAAAAAUUUGUUAUUAAAAAUCAUGAGACAAGACCUUCUCCAUUUAGUUACAAUGAUACAGAUAAGAUGAGAGCCCUUUGGGACCCCUCUGAACACAUAGAGAGGUUAAUAGGUUGUGGUUUUUAGCGCUUUUGCCCUUUGGAGGCUUAUGCAUGCUGUAUGAUAACAAAAAAAGAUUUAAGAUACAGAUAAGAUAGAGGCUUUUGGGUCUGUCUAAGUGCACAUAGAAGCUUGGGUGCUUUUGUCCUUUAAGGACUAUUUUAUGCAUGUAGUAUGAUGAGAUAUGAUGAUAUACAUGAGAUACUUCAUUGAUCUAUCCUUUGUAGCUGCAGGCAUGACAAUGCCCGCAUAGUAUGUCAUUGCACUGCCCAUAUGCGGUCCAGGUACGACAAGAUCAUUUACUUGUUUAGUGACAGUUUAAGAAUAAAGUAUUCUAUGUUAUCUUUUGAUAUGAUUUUCAUGUGUAUUACGUACAGUAUAAUGUAUUCUUCACUGACAAUUGUUUGAUUUAAAGUUUGAAUAAUUUAACUAUGUGCUUACUUAUAGAUUAGUAAAGUUGGUAUGUCGAAAAAAUAUGAUCAUCUUUAAAGUAAGUUAUUUUCAAAAGAUGUUAUCCACUCACUGAGCUUACUAAUUUUUAUAUUAACAUUAUUUUAUUAUAUUUUUCCCCCCGUAGAAGGAUGCAGGUACACCAAUCGACCGACCGACUGUAGUUAUUUUGAAUUUUUGUUCAUGUGAUGGCACCAGGAGAAAUAGAUGGUAUUAUGCAUUUUGAUCAUCUCAUUUUGGAAUGUAUAAUUGUAUUAUGAUUUGAUGAUUAUGGAUGUUUAAUAUAUAUUGAAAUCAGAUAUAUUAUAAUAUUUUGAUAUUGGAGAUGUUUGGGUGUUAUUUGGUAUUUUGGUUGAGAAGGUUGAUUGAUGGAACUGCUUAUAUAUUAAACUAUGUUAGGAGUGCUUGUAUAAAUUUGCAAUUUUGGGAUUGUUAUAUUUAUAAGGGAAAUAAUUACCGAAUUUUUGGUAGAAUUAAAUUAUUAUCAGUCAAGUUAGACGAUAUCAAAUGGACCCGCAUGGAGUUCGAGGCGAGUCGUUUCAAAUCAAGUCCUUUAUAAAGCUCACUCACCCCUUGUUAGCUCUCAUUCGUUACAAGCAUCUAUCUAUCAAUAUAUCAAUCAAUGCUUACAUUUUCUUUCCUCUUAUACAUCAAAAUGAAGUUCAUCUUGGCAACCUUGCUGUGGCAUUAUUAUUGUCAAUAGUAUAGAACGUUUACAAUUAUCAUCUUCUGGUUGACCAAACCUGUAGCGACGUUCCAUUCGGAGCCAACUGUGUGGCCUCAGUCAGCGCGAAACUCUCUUUAAAACCCGAUGUUGAAAUUAAACCAAAAUGAAAUCCUCGGCGCAGCAAUAACUGUACUGAAGGAAUGCGUUAUUCAAGCUAGGAAAGACUAUUCUAAAGCGCAUGAAAUUAGUAAAGACAACUAUGAACAGAGCGUGCUCAUGGCUUCCAUUGAAGAAUACAAUAAAGUCGUAGAAGCUUGCGACAAAGCAAUUGAACCAGCUAAGGUUGGCGAUUUUGACGUCGCAAAAACGGCAGCUGAUGAAGCCGACCUGAGCGUUUCUCGCGCUGACGCAUACAACACCGAGAACGCGAACCUGAAACAUGUCAAUUUGAACUUGAAAAUUGCUUCUAAAAAUACAGUGGCCAUAGCCAUCAAGGCUCUUAGUAAUCCUGGUGCUGAAAGCGAAAAUUAAAAUAAGGAGAGUACAAUUACUUAAUUUAAUUGAUCAUGAUUUCAUAUUUCUUUCAUCAUCGAUCUUUGUCUUUUUUAUCUUUUUUGAUAUGCAAACCAAUUAUAUUCUUUUUUAUGAUAUUGUUGGAGAGAAUAAUAAUAAUAAUGUGUGCACUUUGAAGCAGCUUUCUGCUUAUGUUGUAAUGAAUAAUUUUUUAAUUGGUUGAUUGAAUUAUUUGAUGCUUUUAUUUAUUUAAUUACGUGAUGAUCAUGCAUGACUAAUUAAGUGGAUUCAUAGAAUUGGAAAAAUCAAAUAAUGACAUAAACAAAAUAAUAAAUCAAAACGAUUAAUUGAUUGUCUUCAUGUGUGUUAAUCAACAAAUGCAAAGAUUAAUUAUCAAUUAAUCAAUACAUAAAUAUAUGUUGACUUAAUUUUUGUCAAUCAAUCAAAUUUUCUAAUCACAAUUGUAUCGUUUCUGCAAAAACUUUUUCUCACAAGGUAAUAGAUUGUAGUAUUUCAUACCAAAUUAAAAAUUGUCCGUGUUACUGAUGAAAAUCAUGAUAACAUUAUUAGAGAGCUUUUUUUUUUCUUUUUUCCCUUCCCUUUUUUUCUGUUUUGUCCUUUGUUUGAUUGGGCGUAAUGAAACAGAUAUAACAAGGGACCAAGCAUGACCUAUAUGUAUAUCUUCAUCAACAAACAAGGAACCAAUGGAUUGAAUUUGAUGUGUCACAGCACAAUAAGUUAAAUCUUAAAUUUGGACAGACAAGCAAAUAUAGAAGCAUCUAAUCCACCAAAGGAUAGACAUGGGACUUGACAUGAAAAUAAAUACAGACACAAACAUAAACAUUUACUCCUCCAAUGAUUGUUUCAAUAUCUUUAUCCUUGAUAUUUGCUCACUUUUAUAAAAUAUAAAUCUGCUGGUAAAUUUUUUGUACCUUAAACAGUUUUCUGACUUAUGAGAAAAAAACUAUUUUAAAAAAAUAUUGCAGAGAAAAAAAAAAAAAAAACCUGCUAAAGAGACAAAAUAAUGUCAGACGUGCAUUGGUUCUGGGCAUUCCGGCAUUGUUUCCUCAGGUGAAGCUGCCCAUAUGAAUGCUUGUUUACGACAUGGAAACACAUCGUGUGCUGCUGCUUCCAAUGCAUCAGACCUCACCUAUACUAACAACAACAAAUAGAUGAAUAAUCUAAUCAGAGGUGAUUGUACAUAUACCGACAAUAGGGUUUAUUUUAACUAUGACACAAUUGCACAACUAAUUCCCAUAUUAAGGCUCAAUUUAGGACUGGUUCGGCAAUUAAAAAGUGUUUCGUAAGGACUUUCAAUUAUGAUUUGGAAGUUAAAGAUAAUUUUACUCAACAAUUGUUUGAUGAAAUUGUAUUAGAUCUUGGCCAGGACUUGACCGAGUGUUUUCAAUCAGCUUUCUUUGGCUAGUCACUCAAGUUUAAGCCCUGUAAGUGGUAUGAACCUAAGAAAUUGAUUCAGGCUUUUUGCACCACCCCACAACUUACUAUUUUUUCAAAUAUAUUUACUUUAAAAAUCAGGGCAUCUUGAUAGGCACCCCUCCAUGUUAAGUUAAAUGAAUAUCGGUGGGUGAGGUUUAUAAUAAUAGACAGCAAUAAGAUACCACAACUUCUUUAUGGACAUGCAAUCCAUCGGUCGCAGCAGAACUAGCUGACAGCGCCUGCAGGGAACAUGCAAUUAUAUUUUGAUCAGUGUUCACGAAGCUAAAGCAGUGUAAAUAACAGAUCAUGGCUCAAUUAAUUAAUUACCUGAAGGUGAGUAAAUAAUUGAGAAUGAAAUUAUAUUAUUAAGCAAAGACAUAAGCUAAAUUACCCCAUUUAUCUGUUUGAAUCUCGUCUUAAGAGCAAAUGGCGGCACUGACGAGGCUUGCUCAGUUUCGCCCUGCAUGGCUGCAUGUCUGAUAAGAGUGGAAAAAUAGUGCCUUUAGCUAAAUCGUAGAAUGUUAAAUCUGAUGCUACUGAAUAUGGAGAGUGAUUCAUAUACACGGUCUUCAUGAAUAUAUAGUUGUUAAUUACAGGAGAAGUUGCAAUAUGAAGUUAAUUUGAAAUUUAUAUUUCUCACCUCGAAUAAUUUCUAGUAAAUCGCUGAUUCGAUAAGGUUAAACUUUCUUUAUGAUCAUCAUCAUCUUCUUGGUCUUCGCCUUCCGAUGUUCCUAUUUCUGAUGUUUCUCCACAUUUUCUUCCUCUUUUAACAACUUUCGUUGAAGAUUUUGACAGAAAUAUCAUUGUGAGAAGAGUAUUUCUAAAGUUUACAACUUGGAAAUGAGACCUUAUGUGAUAUGUACAUGAAGGAUAGAGUACAUGUCAGUAUUUAUAAGAAACAAUGUGAUGGUUUUAAAGAAACUAAAUAAAGUUUAUUAUUUAAUAAAAAGUCAAAUACAAAUCCCGAAGAAUCCGCUGUAUAAUCGGACAAAAUCUAGAAAACAUAGUCACUUUUAAUAAAAAGUUAAAUACAAAUCCCGAAGAAUCCGCUAUAUAAUCUGAUAGAAUCUAGAAAAUGGAGGUACAUGCAUUGCAAUAUCAUUACUUUGUACGACUGGAUUAUUUUUACAAAUUUUUUUCCAAAGAAACUAAUAAAAUUUAUUAUUUAAUAAAAAGUCAAAAUACAAAUCCCGAAGAAUCCGCUGUAUAAUCUGACAGAAUUUGGAAAACGGAGGCACAUGCAUGGCAAUAUCAUUACUUUGUACGACUGGAUUAUUUUUACAAAUUUUUAUCCAAUCCCUUGUUUGAUGCCUGUAAAUCAAUAUUUAAAUGUAGAGUUAUUUUGUUAUGUUAUUUGAUUUUAACUAUUAAUGUGAAUAUUGGAAUAUAUAUUUAUAUUGAACUAAUAAAAUAAUUGUAUAAAAACAUUUGAAUAAACUUAAUUAUGAAUUAUGAAUUCAUGAUGUAAGGUAGCGUUUGUUUUUUAAUCUAAAAUCUUAGUGAGUCUGAAUUUAGCUAAAAUCUGAAUAGAUUUGAAUUGCAUAUGUCUAAAUGGCAUGUUUGUUUUCUCUUUUUUGAUGUCUGAAUGUAAGUGACAUCUUUUUUUUUAUAAAUAAAAAAAAUCUGAAAUAUGAUUAUUUAACAUUUAUAUUCUUGUAAGAAUUAUUUAUACUUAUUAUAAAUUUUAAGAUUUAAAUAUGUGCACGUUACAAUUAAAAUCAAAGAUAUGUAGAAUUGAGUAAUUGAUCUUUAAAUAAAAAUAUUAUUAUAUUACUCCAAAUACAAAAUUGAAUCAAACUUAUUAUACUUCAAAAUUUAAAUUUAAUUUUAUAAUUUACAUCAUCUUUUUUACCAUUUAAGAUUGUAAAAGCCCAUUCGCCCAAACCUAGUCUUAAUUAGCUGUACUUAAGUGUAAAGGCCCAUAUGUUCUUAAGAAAUGUUAAGAGUUUUCUUAGACCCAUAAGUGAAUGGAUAUGUGUAAUGCCCUCAACUCCAAGCCAGAGUUAUAACUGUUGGCAGAUCUGUGUAAUCCUUUUAAAAUCGUUCUCUAAUUAUAUUAAAAGACAAAAUAAAUCUAAUUAAAUUCUUAUAUUUCUCUCUCUAUAAGUUUCUUUUUCUAAUGGAAAAAGGACAUCUACACCCCUAAAGUUUGAAAAAAUGAUCAUCAACACCCCUAUGUUUUCAAAGAUGGACACCAAGACUCCCUUUUGAUGAUUAUACCCUUUAUCUCUAUUAUCUCAAAAGAAUUAACUCUAAUAUUUUACAAUAAAUAGAAAUAUGNNNNNNNNNNNNNNNNNNNNNNNNNNNNNNNNNNNNNNNNNNNNNNNNNNNNNNNNNNNNNNNNNNNNNNNNNNNNNNNNNNNNNNNNNNNNNNNNNNNNNNNNNNNNNNNNNNNNNNNNNNNNNNNNNNNNNNNNNNNNNNNNNNNNNNNNNNNNNNNNNNNNNNNNNNNNNNNNNNNNNNNNNNNNNNNNNNNNNUAUUAGUAUGUGAGAAUGUUUUUAAUUGUAGAACGUAUUUUAUGCAAAUAUUUAUUUAAAAUCUUUACAAUAAAAAAAAUAUAUUAUUAAAAUAAUAUAAUAAAUUACAUAUUGAAAUAUUAAAUAUUUUAAUAUUUUUAGUCUACUGCAUAGAUUAUAUUAUUUAUAUGGUAUUUGUAUUUGCUAAAAAUUUUAAAGUCAGGUUUUUAGAAUAAUAGAGAUCAGAUAAGGGAUAUAAUCGCCAAAAGAAGGUCAUGGUGUCCCUCCUUGAAAACUUAGGGGUGUUGGUGACCAUUUCCCCAAAUCUUGGGGGUGUAGAUGUUCUUUUUCCUUUUCUAAUUCAUUACCCCCACACAACUACAGCAAACAACCAAAAUUUUGUGGGAUCUAUAGUUCAGGCAGAAGCGGCCGAAUGCUUCCGGGAACUCAGGCAGAUAGAACCUUGGUUGAUUUGUUUUUCUUCAUCUGAAAUUAUGCCUGAUGGCUAUCCUUUUAAUUGGUUUAAAUUCUUCUUUUUUCUUUGAGUUGUUGAUUUAUAGUGCCUUACAUGCAAAAUUCAAAAUUUCGGAUGAUGAUAAUCUUGUUUUAGAAGAGAUUUCUAGUUAUGGUAGCAGCAUUCUUGAUCGUGGCAUCACAAGCACAUGCUCUGGUUUGCUUAGUUUGCCUUUUGUCUCUGAUAUUUUCUUGGCAUUGUGGGAUAUUGUUUCUUUCUUUUUUUUUUUGGUUAUAGGAUUCGGAGAUAUUGUAUAUGUAUGACGAUGAUAUAAUAAAGUGCUUUUGAUAAAUUCACCUGGUCGGUUUACUUCACCAACCAUUAAUGAGCAAAUCCUCCCAGUGACCCUCAAACUCUUCUACACAAUUAUAAUAAUUUCAGUUUUAUAUAUAGAAAAAUGAACAGCUCUCAAAUAUAUUAUUUGAUAAUGACAAACAAAACAACUCACUCCAAUAAAUCUCGUAAUAAAUAAAUGGUCCAUAUUGCAAGUCUUUUUAGGACGCAUUCAAAAAGAAAACAUAAGGAAUGGCAUUGCAAGAAUAUGGAAUCAGAAUAACAGUGAUACAAAGAGAAAAAAAGGGGAUGGUCGGAUUGCUUUGUUUGCAAAAUUAUUGAUGCGGGGGUCUACUUGUUUUUAAUUCACUUUAUUAAUUAAUUAGCGAACCAAACAUGUAAUCAUUUGAAAAAGGAUCAUUGGCCCCAGCUUACAAAAGAUGAAUUUGUAAGACAUAUUAAUUUUGGUGAAAAUGUAGUGUUAUUAAGUUAUGAAUUCAUUAACUUAGAGGUAUUAAUAUUUACUUACGAUGGUGAUUAAUUUAUUUAACUUGUCAUAGUCUUCAAUUAACAAUGAAGUGAAAUCAAUUUAUGGAAAAAAAUAAUAAGUUUUUUACUUUUUAAGAUUUUAAUUCUUAGGAUUUCAUUUCGCUCUUUUUCGAUUAUUGACGUUGUCGAAGAAGGCAAUAAAAGCUUGUUGAAUUUCAUCAAAGGCUUGUAUCUCACCUCACAAAUUGGCAAUAUCGAUUGGCGUCUUUAUAGGUGAAGCCAUCACGAAUUUAUCACUCCUUUCAUAUGGAUACCCAUAAAUUUUAACCUUAUUUUAUUUUUGAUGCACAAUCUAACUUAACAAAAAUAGUAUUCAAAUUGUCACAAAAUGUUUUUUUUUUUUAAAUCAUAUACAAUAGUUAAUUUUUCUUCUUUUUUACUCCAGGAUCCAGCUCCAUACCCCUCUUUUUUGUCGUUGUCAUGCUCAGCCGUUAGAUUUUAAUUACGUUAACCUAACGGUUGGGAUUUGUAAAUGAAUAAUGAAGUUGUGUUUAGCUUCUAUUUGAGCCCAUUGCAUCUAAUUGGUUUUGUGGUUUUUUGUCUUUCUUCUCUGUAACGCUUGACUAGUUUUGAAAAUAUCGAUAGCCAUCGACUGGAAAUAUUAAAUGCACCGUUAUAUGGAUUUACGUUUCGCAAAUUGUGGCGCCAUGGCGGGAUGGUAAAAACUAUAAUCACGUGCCGUUAACAUUUACAUGGUUAAUGUCAUCGAGAUCACAUGGUUGUUAUUUAUGAAAAGAGAAUUGAUAGAAAUUUCGUUAAUCCACUAUUGCAACAAUAUAUUGUUAUAAAUUGCAUUGUUUCCCAUAUAACAAAUAUAAUAAAAUCUCGAUAAAUUAAUAGCUCUGGGACCAUGAAAUAAUUUAUUAAAAUUUAACGAAUAUUAAUUAUUCGAUAAAUAAAUAAAUUAUUAAUUUAUAAAAAUAUUUGUUAUUUUAGAAAAAUAUGAUGACGUUUAUAGUAUUUAUAUACCUUGAGUUGGAAUCUGUUAUGUUUUAUUUGAAUAAUACUUUUCUUUUAAGAAGAUUUUUUAAUAGUUAACUGCUUUAUAAUUUCAAACAAAGAAGUAGAUGAUAUUGACGUUGAAUAAUUUUCUGUCGCAAAACAACAAUACCAAUUAGGAUUUCUUUUCGCAUUACAAAAAGUCAAAGACGAGAUCUAAGUUAAAAUUAAUUUUAAAAAGAAGCAAACAAUGCUAAGAACGUAUUUUACACAAGCUAUAUGGACAUGUCAUAUGGAUUUCGUUUUUAUACUAGAUAAUUAUUAAUUUAUAUGAUAACAUAUUUCCUUCAAAUUAUAGUAUUUGAAUUUGAAAUUAUUUUUUUUAAAAAAAAAUCUAGGAUUACAAUAAUAGUCGUGAUUCGAUUGGUUUCGAUUUUUUAAGGAAAAAAAGUUGGGGAAAUAGACAAACAAGGAAGGAACAAGUUAAGCACAGCCAAUAAACAGGGGAAAGUGAAUGCUAUUGGUAAUGUCAAUAGCAUUGUUUCAUAUGAUGCACAAAUUACGUUUAUAACUUCUUUCAUAAUAUAAACACUCAUAAAUUUUACCCAAAUUAUCCAAAAAAAAAGAAGAAAAAAAUCAUGUAGUUAAUUUUUCUUCUUCUUUACUCCACUAUUCAACAAGAGUAUAAUAAAUUUUCUUCUUCUUUGCUCCAUUAUUCAAUAGGAGUAUAACAAACUAGGGAAAGGAGAAAUUAAGGAGAAAAUUAGGGUGAUUAUUGCAAUGAUAAGAACACAGGCAAGUGCUUAUUUCAGACACAUGCGUUGCAUUCAUUAAUUUGACCAAAAAUAAAUGAAUUUAUUUGUAUUUUAAUCAAAAUCGAGGGAUGUCAACAAAAUUGUUCCACUCCACGUAUUUAUCAUUUUCUCGUUAAGAAAAAAAAAUUUGCAUAAAGUUAAGAAACCAGUAGUCACUGAACGGGAGAAACAGAGUGAGGAGAGUUCAAAUUUCAAAAGAUGGAACCCGAAGAAGAAACCCUAACAACAAUCCUAGAAGAAGAAGAAUAUGAUGAUGAAGAUGCGGCCAUGCCCAAUGUUAAGCAAAACCUUAAAACAAAAACAAAAGACAACUCUUUGGACUCGAGCGAUGCCUCUGACUCCGACUCGGAUUCUGACUCAGAAGACGAAGCAAAACAGAACAUGGAGCUUCAAAACUAGAGUAUCAGCUAUCCAAUGAACCUUCCAAUUACGACACCCACGUUCAAGUAACUUCAAUACGCAUACUUAUUCCGUGAUUUUGUGGACACCCAUUUACUUGUUCUUUCUUAAUUGGUUAGCGAUAAAAAAUGGCUUUUUUUUCUUUAGUAUAUAAAGGUUUUGAGAAAAAUGGGUGAGAUAGAGAAGCUGAGACAAGCUAGGGAAGCGAUGAAAGAGAUUUUUUCCAUUGACUCCUGCUAGGUGGCAAGAAUGGGCGAGAGAUGAAGCCUCUAUUUCAACUGGGCCUCUGUCAUUUCCUUUUUGCAGUGGUUUUCGAGUUUUUGAACAAAUAUUUUUUCACUUAGAGAUAUAGAUGUUUAUGUUCGUCAUUUGCUAGUGUAAAAAGGAACAAAACCUGCUUAAAAGGUAUUAAAGAAAGAAAAAGAGAACCAAUUUGAAGAAGGGAAUACUUAUAGUGGGAGUUCUAUUCUUUGGGGUUUAAUUGAUGGGAGAAGAAACAACUUAUAUGUUUACAGAAUUAGACAUUUGAUUGCUGAGUUAGUUGAGUUGAGGAAGAUAAUUAAUCACAAUGUCUGAUGUUGUUUCUGUUGGCGUCAACUAAUUGUUAAGAUUUCAUACUUUCAUUCAACAAUGCAAUAGACUUUGGUUGGGUCCACCUUAGUUGGGUGUUCUGAGGAACCAAUGAGUGUCUUGAGAAAACUUGGGUGGAGUGUGGAUCAUUUUCAGGAUUCAGUUUCCAAGAAAGCAAAAAUGAAGUCGGAGUCGUAGUUUAAAUUAAUUUAUGUUUUUGUCUUUUUCUGUGAGCCCAGUGACUUUUGUUUUCACUUUGUUCUCUUUUGCUUCUUUCCCUCCUUUUCCUGCUGUUUCUUGACAAUCAAGCAGAUCAGGAUUAAGUGUUUACUUUUGGUGUAAUUAUUCACCCUAACUCGAAUAAUACAUAGGUUUAGUGCUAUCAAAAUAGGAAGUGAAUUAAUAUCUGAAGCUGACUUGGGAGUGGAAUGUGUGUUAGUAAAAAUAUGCUAUUAUGGUAGAUAGAAUUUGCAUUUUAGGUAAGACUAAAAUAAUUACCGCUGUUAAUUUAUUUCAAUAAGUUCGUACAUCAUUCGAUAAUAAGUCGAAGAUUUUAAUGGUUUUGUUUCCUGCAAAUUUGUCAUCAGUGCAUGGACAAAGUUCAAUGGAUGAACUUCUCUUAGUUAAUUCGAGUUCUGUAAGAAACACUAAUCUUGCCCUGUACUUUGGAGUAUUUUAAUAAUUGAUGUUAAGAUUUGCUAAUGUGAAAACGAAGAAAACCUGCUUAAAGGUAUUAAAGAAAGAAAAAGAGAACCAAUUUGGAGAAGGGAAUCCUUAUAGUGGGAGUUCUAUUCUUUGGGGUUUAAUUGAUGGGAGAAGAAACAGCUUAUAUGUUUACAGACAUAGACAUUUGAUUGCUGAGUUAGUUGAGGAAGAUAAUUAAUCACAAUGUUUGAUGUUGUUUCUGUUGGCCUCAGCUAAUUGUUAAGAUUUCAUACUUUUUUCUGGUUUUUCAUAACUGUGACCUAAAGCUUAAUGUAUACUUUGAUAAUUACAUAAUCGGUUUCUUGCUGAUAUUUGGCUUUAAUUUGUAGACCUGAGGCUCUUUUGGGAGUUGGGAAGAUUUACGAAAGAGGAGUUUCUGAUUAUCUGGUUUGUUCUCUUUAUGCCUACAGAAUUUGAAUUCACUGGUAAGCUUGAUUCACCUUGUUUUGAUUUACUACCAAGAGGUGUUAACAGUUCAUCAUGCACAAAAAGAGGUGGGGAAAAAAGAAAUCUUCUUGCUAUAUACAUAAAUUUAAUAGUUGAAUCAUUUUCAACCAAAGAAAUGUGCUGAAGAGCAGCAUUUUCGUUUAUAUCAAAGUUCAAUUGCAUCUUAUAUCAUCUGUUUCCAUCUCCUUUGUGGUAAAUAAAGUUCUUGAUAAUGACAAUAAGAAUCACAGAAGAAGUUGUUAAUUUCAUAUCUGGAGAUUUUCAUCAUAGUAGUUCAUUGAAAGUAAAGACAACUGAGUACUCCUUUUUCUGAUGCAGUCUGUCCCUCUUUGGUGUGUUUAUUCGAAAUUUGUGCAAGAAUAUGAUCCAUCUAUACGAGAAUGUGCCUAAUAAAAUAUCCCAAAGGUGCCUAAUACAGUGAAAUUAACAUAUUCAGCUCAUGAGAUUGCCGUUAUAUAUAUUGAAAAAGAAAUUAAUAUAAGAAACUGAAAAUUAAUUGACACUGGAUCAUGUUGGAUUGUCAGUUGUUAAUUAUGAUGGGAGUAUAAUCUUGGUCUUUUAAUUGUCAUCUAGGUAAUGCAUGUGCACUUUCAUUUGUGAGAGAGAAAAUAUUUGACAAUCACGAAAACAACAACAAUUCACUCCCAUAAACAACAUAAUAGAUACAUGGUCUAUAUUGCAAGUCCUUUUAUGAUUUUAAUUAAAAGAGAAAAUGCAAAGGACAUAUUAUAUAUAAUUGAAUGUUCUCCUUGAUAAUCAGUCAAAAUAACACCAAUCUGGCUAACUAAUACAAUCAUCAUAAUUAUCCAAUUUUCAUUUUAAUUAUGUCCAAUCAUGCUAAUUUAAUAAAUAACACUGAAGACAUGAGUAUUUAUAUGUUCAACGACUUUGGCUGAGUAUGAAAAAUAUAAAAGCUGCAUUUUUGCUUUGUGUUACUGUAGGACAUGACCAUAUUAUGUUGCAUUUGUCAGAAAACUGAAAAUUAUCGAAAAGGAUCCUAAAAGAGAUGUGUUGAAUUGUGAGCUUAAAAAUGAGUUUUAGAAGUUUCUGACAUGUCGGUUUGUAUCCUUGAUUGUGCACGCCCUGUUGGUUUCUGGAUGAAACAGGAGAAUAUGACAUCUGUGUAUUGUCUUUUACUUGCAGUAAGUGAAUCACAUGUUCUUCACAUGAUUUGACAUACUUUAUACGGAUUUAGCAGUUGUUUUGGUCACUUAUUGAAGCACGAGUUAAGCUCGUGAUUCAAGGUUGUUAACUGACCGUUGUAAGGCGGGAAAAUUCUGGGUUUCUUACAACAAACCCAGAAGGCAGCUGGUGAGUGUGAGAUGUUUCUAGAUUCUUCAUGAUCUGUAUAUAUAGUCUUAGAGGCUAUAGUUGAGCCAUAUGAAAAGCUUGCAACUUCUUAAUGUUUGUAGCUUGGUCUUGGUAAUUGCUUUGACGAGGGAAGUGAGCUAAAAUGAUAUCAACUUUUAUUUAUGGACAGGUUAAGAAAAUUUUUGAGUUCCUGAAAAAUGGCUUCCAUGAGAUCAGCAGUUCUUUGGAUUUAUCUUUCGAAUAUGAUUUGGUUGCUGAUGAGAAAAUUCCAUUCCUAGCUUAUCUUGCCAGUGUUCUAAAGGAGCAUUCCUUUUUCCCAUAUGAGCCACCAGCUGGAAGCAAAAGAUUCAGGAAUCUGAUUGCUGACUUCAUGAAAAUGUACCACCAUAUUCCACUAAAUGCUGAUGUGAGAAAACCUUCACCACUCAUCUGUUUUUUUACUUCUCUAGACAAGUAAUUUUUGUAUUGUCUGUCCUAGAUUCUGUUUUCCCUGAUGCAUUAUUUCAAUUUCUUUGCACGUGAAGUCCUAGGAUCUGUUUCCCCUGAUGCAUUAUUUCAAUUUCUUUGCAUGUGAACUUGGAGCAUUCAUAUUAGUUUAGGAGUGAAUCUAUUGGUCAUUUACUUGUUUGUAACAAAUAACAUAUGAAACAAUCUUGUUAUUUUUUAUUCUCCAUAUGUAGAGCUCUAUGGACCAAUCGCUUGUCUUCUGUUAUCCUCAUUAGAAUUUCUUCAGACUACUUCCACUUCAUGCUAUUUGUGAUAAUUUGUAUUGUUUUUGUGGUUUUUCGUAUGUCUGUUGGACAAAUACUGUAAUAUGAAAUUUUAUCUAAUGGUGUCCUUUAUUCCUUUUGCAUCCUGUCCCCUCUAGUAGUUAAAUGUAUUUUUGGAUUUGUCAAUUUAUUUGAUUUGAUGAAAUCUUGAUUCUCAUGUUAUCUAUCUGUUUAUCCAACUUGACCAUGGAAUGUGUUGUUGCUGUGAGUUACGCUGCACGUCCUUGUUAUUCGUCUAGUCUUUUUAUGUAAACAUACGGGUUUGGAUGUACUCGUAUAUAUACUGGACCUGAGAUAUUUGCACCUGACUUACUUAUUGAUGUAUGUGUAAAAUGAAGAACUUUUUGAGAUCUGGAAUGGAUCAAGACCUGCAAUUUUUAUUUGUAGAUUUUCCACUCUCCAUUUCAAUUAUAAAAGACAGUUUGUGAAUGCUGCAUGAAUAAGCUAGCCAAACUUAAAGAUGCUUAAUUGCCUCUUUCUCUUCUUUUGUAUACGAGUAAAACAAUCCACAUUCCUAACUUUUCUUCUCCACUUGUUUCUCAAGAAUGUUGUCUUUCCUUCAAGAGCUGUGUGGCAAUUGUGAAUGCUCUUCGAUUGUUUUCACCUCGCCUCAAACAUCUAACCAGACACUUACCGAAGCAAUGGUUAACAAGUUUAGCAAUCAAGGUAUGAUCUAUUUCUGAUUGAUUUUUGUGUUAUUUUUGACAUAGUUGAAGAUGUCAUUUUUUGGCAGAUUUUCUUUGCUAUUCUUGGAACAAGUAAUAGUGCUUAUUGCCUUGUUUGCACACAUACUAGUCUAAGACACAAGACAGAAGUUUUUGGAUGAUGAAAUAUCUGAUAUGAACUCAGCACAUUGUUUACCUGUUGCCUUUAUUCCUCAAGUGACAGUAAAAACUAGUAAUUGCAGUAGAUGAUAUAUUUAAUGAAAAUUACUGGGCAGCCAGACUUUUGUGUUGACAUUGAAGGGGGAGAUGGACAAAAGUCGAAGUAAUACAAUGAGUGCUGAGUUGGAACAUGUUAAUGCUCAUUUGUAAAAUGGGUGAGGAUCACAGUGCCAAAGCUUGCAGCCUAAGGUUAUCAACAUUGAUGAAGAGGCUAGUAAUUCUUCCGGUGAAGAUAUUAACGCCACGAAAGCUCAAUGUAAUUGAUUAAAUGAAGAAGUGCUUGCUUUGCUUGAUGUGCUAUUCGUUUAUGAUCUUUUCCUGGUUUUGUUGUGAGAUGUUUCUCUUUGGAUGUUCUGUUUAUUGUACUUUGAUGGGUUUUUGAAGAUGGCUUGUAUGUAUUAACAACAAUAAAGUGGUUUUUAUAAAUCCUAGUCCUACAGCACUAAAAGAAAUUAAUACGCUUGGUUUAUUGUUAAUAAAAAUAUAUAUUAAAAAAAGUCUUUUUCUUUGGCAUAUGUUAUUCAUUACAAAAAAAAAGUAUUAAUAUUCCUUGUGUCAUAUUAAUGUGUUAAUAUGAAGAUCUUUUAGAAUUAUAAUAGUUUUUAGAAUUAUAACAGUUUUGAUGAAUCCGAAUAUUCAAUAACUUAUAAAUUGUAUUUAUUUAAAUUAAUAGCGAUGACACAAAAAUAAUUAAUUCAAGAACUNNNNNNNNNNNNNNNNNNNNNNNNNNNNNNNNNNNNNNNNNNNNNNNNNNNNNNNNNNNNNNNNNNNNNNNNNNNNNNNNNNNNNNNNNNNNNNNNNNNNUAGGAAACUACUUUACUGUUCAACGCCAUUAAAAGAACAUAAUAACGUUGUUGCUUAGUUUGCUUAGCAAUAGGAAACUUCUAGUGCAGAUAUUGAGGCCACUAAAGUUGAAACGUAAUGAGAGAAAUAUAAUGUGUUUGCUUAGUUUGCUUUUCCUUUUUCAUAUUUGUUUUUCAUAUUUAAUUGGCUUUGUCGCGGGGUACUAUUUUCUCUUUUCAUUUUUUGUUUUCUCAUUGUUAGCCUAAAGGGCUAUACAUAAUGUAAUUUUGAUGAUAACAAACAUAUGUAUUGAGUGAUUUAAUAAAUAUUGUAUUUCACAUUUUUAUUAGUUUUUGAAGGAUAAUAUUUAUACAAGUAAAUCAAGUGAAAUCAAGAUUGAAGACACUCAACGGACAAUGGCGACAUCAAGAAUAGUUUAGAGCUCAACGAACAAAUUAGUGCAAUAAAUUCUUGUAAAGCCGGUAUGAUUUAAUUGAUGUUUGAUUUAGCAUUUGAGAAGCUCAAGAAAUUAAUUUAAUUAAAUAAUUUUCAUAAACUAAAAGUUUUUGUUUUUAUAAAGAAAAGUAUUUUGUGAAUUUAAGUAAUUUGGACUUAAAUGCUAAGAUUUGAAAUCUUUGAUUUUAAUAAGUAUUAAAUUUCGGAGUUGGACGUUUUUACAAACAUUUGAAAUGUUUUGGGCCAUACUAUAAUUUAUGAAUAUUUUGGACUAAAGUGAAAGAUUUUGAGAACUUUGAAAAAUAUAGGUAUUAUGUUGAAAAGGACCUUUGUGUGAAACAAGAAAAUCUUUGGGGCCAUAUCAUAAUUUCAGAAAGUUUGAGAAAGACAUCUAUUUUUAUGAAGUUCUGAAAUUGGACCUAUUUGUAAAGUUUUCUGACGUUUUGGUCCAUAGUAUAAUUAUAGAAAGUUUUGGGCUAAAGUGUAAUUUUAGUGAACAGUAGUACUGUAGCAAAAUUCAAAAAUAACGGUAAUAUUACUGUUCCUGAGCGGCUAGCCGGAUAAUCAAGCGGCUAACCGCUUGAGCGCUGGAAUUUGCCUAUAACGGCUAGUUUUUGGGCUUUCACUAUAAAAACUCAACUCAAACUUCAUUUUAAGAACUAACACAAGCAAAUAUAAGAUCAUAUAACAUAUAUUGAGCUUCCAUUUCGUAAAUCAUCAUUUGUUGAAUCAUCAUUGAGCUAUAAUUUGUUAUUCACUCUUAAAGAGAGUUUUAUUGUUGUGAAUUUCAUUUCUCAUCAAUUUGUGAGUGUACAAGUGUGGGAAACACUUGGGGUGAAGAGAUUGGGGAUAUAAUCUCUUGUUGUAAAGGUUCAUUGACACCUUGGAAGUCAAUUGUAAACAUUUGAAGCCUUGGGAGGCUUGGAUAGUGAAAUCCUCAAGCCGGGUGAGCUUGGAGGCGUGGACGUAGGCGGGGAUAGCCGAACCACGUAAAAAUCCUUGUGUUCGUUUUCUCUUCCCUUACUCUUUUAAUAUUGUACUUGAUUGAAUUUAUUGUUUUUGAUUUGAUUAAGGCGGUAGAUUAAAUUGUUGUGCGAAUUGUAUUGCAUAAAAUUUAAAAUCCCAAUUCACCCCCCCUCUUGGGUUGCAUAACUUGCAUUUCACUCAUAUCAUGUAAUAAAGUGCUUUUAGUAAAUCAUGGCCGGUUUACUAUUAAUUCAAUCAAAUUUAAUUUACUUUGGCUGUAAUAAAGUGCAUCAUAGUUAUUAUAAGCUGACGUUGUAUAACAAUAGAAAGAGCACCCAACAUCCCAAGAUCUUCCAGCAAAUUAAUGAGAUUACUCCUGUACACGAUCAAAAUAAUUACAAUUUCAUCGUAUGUAUAUGUCAAUACGUGUGUGUGUGUAUAGACACACGCUCGCAUACACAAAAUGUAAAUAAUUUUCAAAUAUUAAACAUUUAAAAUAGUCAGCAUAUUAACAAUUUACAAUUUAGAUUAUACGUAGACGAAAUAAUGGUAACAACAAUAAAGUACGUUUUAUAAAUCCUAGUCCUACAUUAGUAAAAGAAUUAAUGAGCUUGGUUUUUAUUAAUAAAAAUUAAAAAAAAUCUUUUUCUCCAGAGCUUAUUAUGAAUUUUAAGGAGGAAAAAAAAAGAGUCGUACUCCGAUUCAUAAAGAUAUUCCUUCUUUCUUCUUUCAUAUUUGAUGUGUUAAAUAUGAAGAUUCAUUCCAAUUAUAACAGUUUUUGAUGAAUCUAAAUAUUCAGUAACUGAUAAAUUAUAUUUAUAAAUAUUAUUAGCAAUGGCACAGAAACUAUUAAGUUAAAUUAAACAAUUUUGUAAUACAGUCCAGUCCUCGUGUGUUAAUAUUGUUACUCAUGAGGCAGCUAGUUAUCCCUUCGGUGUAAAUAAUUAACGUUCAUAUGCACAAUAUUUAAAAUAAUCACCAAACAACAAUUCACAAGUAAGAUUACACAGACGAAAUAAUGCUAAUCUAGCAAAUUCAAUCAUAAUAAUUUGAUUUUCAUUUAUAUUAAUUAUUUCCAAUCAUGCUAUUUUUAAAAAAGAACACUCCAGUGUUUAUAUAUCCAACAGGUAAAAUUUCAAAAUAAUAUUUGCCAAAGUCUGAUGAAGGGAAUAUACACACGCGCAUAUAUAAUCGUACAGCAGAAGGAUAAAUAAAAGAAAAUGAAGUUUCAACAACUGAAUAAUGCAUUUUGUUGUUUAAUUAAAAAGUUUCAACAACUGAAUAAAAGAAAAUGAAAACCCAUUGGCCUUAUGUACAUGAUAAAGAAUCACCGACACCGAACCAUAUUAAUUUAAAUUAGUUUUCAACUGAGAUUUCAAUUUUGAAAUUACAUACACAAGCACGCCCAAUUUUUUUUUUAAAAAGUAGUAAUUAUAAAAUAUUUCAACCAUCCUCUGUUCAGUCAUCAAAAAACCCAUUUAAAAUCUAUUACAACAUAAGGUAUGUGGGUUAACAAGUCCCAAUAUUGUCCUCCAUCCUUUCUGCACUUCUCUUCUAUCAACGGACAUCCCGCGAUGUUUAAUCGCAAAAGUGAGGAAGGCAGGCCCUUCUCCGGAAAGUAUUUGAGCUUGGGACAAUCCCCGAGAUCCAACUGAGUGAGGUUUUGAAGAUCAACAAUUGAAGAAGAUAGGCGUUCCAGACUUGGAAAACUGAAAAUUGUCAGAGACGUUAGAGAGGCAGGAAGAGGAAGCGCGGUCCCUAAUCUUUUGUCCUCUAGUGGAAAUGACACCAUGUCGUCAUCACAUCCUCUGAUUAUGAGUUCUCGCAGAGAGGAGAAUCUGUGAAAUCCCCGGCCCCGCUCAAUCAUUGACUUCCAAAUCUCCAUAUUACCCUCAAUCUUCAGAAAAUGAAGGUUGGUGGGAAGGCCAUCUUCUUCUUCAAGGCUUGGAAGCGCACCUCCUAUUGUUAAGUAUUGAAGAGUGCUCAGAUUGUGCAAUCCCUUGGGUAAGGCCUUUAGUCUCUUACAAUCAUAUAUCUUCAGCGUCCUGAGUUUCGCACAAGGCAAUCCCCCUUCGGGAAAGGACACCAGAUUUUCACAAUUACUAAUACUGAUUGUUUCAAGAGAUGUGUUGUUGUCCAACCUUUCUGCUAUUAACUCCAGCUUUGAACAAAAAUUAACACGAAGGGACUUAAGAGACGGAGGUAGAUUGCCAACUUCAAGGGACUCAAGCGUGGCAGGUAACUCGUUUUUUGAAAAUAUACAUGUCAAUGAUGGACAUUCCCAAAUAACUAAGUCCUCAAGAAGAUAUGAGGUGUACCUUCUGCUGCUGCUGCUGCUACACUGGAUGCCCUCUUCCACUGUCAAAGUCCUUAUAUUAUCGCAAUUGUAAAUAUCCAACUGCUUAAGGCUCGGUGGUAGCUGGACUUCAGCAAUAUAUGUCAACGAAUUGCAAUACAAAAUAAUCAAGAUCUCGAGAGACGAAUUGGUGUGGCACAUCCAUGCCUCUGGUAACGAUUUCAGUGCAUCACAAUAGCUAAUCUGAAUUUUCUUCAACUUGGAAGGCAGAGCAACCUCAGGAAAGGAAACAAGGGAACUGCACUUGCAGAUUUCUAUCUCUCUCAAGGAACUGAGGCUGAGCGAUGAUUGUGGCAGCUUCACAAGGCCUUCGCAAUUACUCAAUUUUAGAUAUUCAAGUCUGCAUGACAACUCGCAGAGCUGCUGUUGUUGGUCUUUCUCUUCCUCCGCGACCAAGGAUUGAAGUGUGGGACAGCUUGUAAUCACCAGUCUUUUGAGAGAGCAAAUGUCUUGCAGCAAUUCGUUAUGACUCUUCCAUAUAUAUGUUUCAUUUUUACUAUUACUUAUCCCCAAUUCUUCCAGUUUUGGUAUUCGCGGCUUCAAUGGCCCUGAGAGAAACACUUGAUUUGAUGUAUCUCUACAAACCACUGAAUUCUGUGAGCCGAGAUGAUCAGUUGCACUUCUCCACACAACCUUUUUACAUCCACCAAUUUCCAUUUUGCAAAGAGCUGGAAGACUCGUAAUUGAAAUUGACAAUUCUUCGCAUUCUUCAAUAACAAGCAUCUCCAAUGCAGGAAGGUGCUCUGGAAAUGUUCCUUGCAGUUUAGAACAUCUUAAAAUGUGAAGCUCUCUCAAUUUAGGAAACCGUUCAACUCCCUGACUGGAACCAUGAGGAAUCCACUCUUCCCAUUCUUGCAGGUCUUCAAAACGAAGAGUCUCCAAGCAUGGAAAUGGAAUUGGAGAGUCAUCCCCAUAGAACUCUGAACCCAAUCUCUUUACUCUACUCAUUCCAUGCACUGUAAGAUGCUUUAGAGAGGGCAGUUGCCCGACUGACGGCAGGGCAGUGCACAUGCCGCAAUCUUCAAAUUUAAGUGUUACUAAAUUUAAGAAUGAGGAAUCUCCUAACCAUGUUGGAAAUUUUGUACCUCCAUAGCCACAGAUACCAAAUUGUUCCAGAUUUUUAUGGGGUUUGAGCAUGUCAAGCACACCCGUUUCAGUUUCUGCCUCCCUUGAAGAUGAACCAUCGGUGCUGCAAGUCCAAUUAAGCGAUAAUUCUCUAAGAUUCUUCUUUCCAUCCAACCGAGCCUCCUUUGCAUCACCAUCGUCUUUUACAUUCUCUAAUUUUGAAAUUUUAAGUGUCCCCUGAAGAUGUAUCAAUGACUUUAGCUUUCGUAACCCAGAACCAUUGUCUUUUCCCACAGCAAAAUUACCCAGCGUUUGAAGACAAGUCAGCUUACCAAUUCCUAGUGGCAUUUCCUCCAAGGAAUCUGUAUUUGAAUUAUUGAGAUGAUGCAAUUUGAUGAGAUUUCCCAUGUCUGCACACAACUUCUUCAGUCGUCGACAGCCCUCCAACAGAAGGGUGUGCAAGUUGUAAAGCUUGCUGACUGAUUCAGGCAGAGUUUUAAUCUCAGUUCCAGACAGGUUAAGGUGCCUUAAAUACCUCAAAUCACCAACUGAAUCCGGCAGCUCGGCGAUGAGAUAUCCACGCAGAGAGAAGACCCUCAAGCGUUGGAGUUUGAACAACCUAGGAAGAAUGCUACAAGCCAAGUAUCCAGGCCAGCUACUUAACGACGUUACUGGUAAAAGAGUUCGCAAGUGUUGGAUAUCGUACAAGUCCUCAAACCUUUUAACGCCAUCAUAAUCUCCACGAAUGUACGACAGAUGACGAAGAUUUCUAGAAAAACAUUGUUGCAUGUUAACCUCCGAGGUAUACUCCAGUGUGAAGUAUGUCUCCCCUGCAGCCCAACGGGCAAGGUCGUUGAUAAGAUCGUGCAUAACAAAUCGUGAUAUACUGUUGCUCGAUUGCUGGAAAAAAGAUCUUCCACGUAGCUCUUGAAAGAACUUUCGACCGAGAUCUUCACUAGGAUUCCCACUCUCUCCGUGAUCCAGGAAACCCACAGCACUCCAUAAUAAAAUUAUCUCCCCCUCUUCAAAUUCAUAAUCCUUUGGAAACAAUGAGCAAUACGCAAAGCAUUGUUUCAAAGGUGCCGAAAGAUAAUAGUAGCUCACUCUCAGCGCCGGCAUAAUGUCACAUCUCUCUUCUUGCAAUUCCCAUAUCUUGGUACUGAGCACUCUCUCCCAAUCACAUCUGUCAUAUUUUCCUCGCAAAAGUCCUCCAAGUGUUUGCGCUGCCAGGGGCAAGCCAUCGCAUUUGGCCACUAUCUUCUUGCCAAUUUCCUCCAAUAACUUAUUUGACCCCAAAGAAUGUUGAGCAAAUACAGCUAGACAAUCAUCAAUUGACAACUUUUUUAAUUGAUAAGCUGAGGCAGUUCCCAUGAUGUCUGCAACCUCUUGAUUACGAGUUGUGACAAUAAUCUUACUUCCCUUCGCUCCAGCUUCAAACGGACGGCUGAGGCGAACCCAAUCAUUGUAAUUCUCAUUCCAAACGUCGUCUAAAACAAGCAAAAAUUUCUUUCCAGAUAACUUCUUCUUCAGCUCCUCUUGAAGCAAAUUUAAAUCACUGUCAUCAAUAGUCUGCUUGGUAACGGAUCUUAGAAUUGUUUUUGUUAGCCCCUUAACAUCGAAAUCCUCAGAGACACAAGUCCAUGCCUUGGGAUCAAAAUGAUCCUGCACUCGCUUAUCAUUGUAGACAAGCUGAGCAAGAGUAGUUUUGCCCAGCCCGCCCAUACCUAUAAUAGGAAUAACAGAGAAUCCACCAUCGUUGCUUAAAUCAUCCCUCAACAGCAGUUCAACAACAUCCUUCUUUUCUGUUUCCCUGCCAUAGACGUUGGCUCCAGUCACUAAAGAGGUUGUCUCUAGCCUUUGACUGGCUUUUUUGGACCCUCCAGCUGAACUUACGUUCAAACCCAGCGAGUCUUUCUGUGUCACAAUUUCUUGAAAUCUGUCGUUGAUCUCUUUGAUUUUGGACAUCAAGGCAUAAU